RNAcentral lists this long non-coding RNA (57329 nucleotides) under Coffea arabica (coffee). RNAcentral's name for it is "long non-coding RNA (CARA_LNC002895)". Lineage: Eukaryota; Viridiplantae; Streptophyta; Magnoliopsida; Gentianales; Rubiaceae. The record is from RNAcentral.
UUUUUCUUUCUUUUUUUUUUUUUUUUUUUUUUGGUUUAAGGGAAAACUCAUAACCUUGUAAGAGAAAAGCAAAGGGAAUUGGUCACAUCUUGAUUAAAGCUAUUUAAGCGAUGCACACAUAAGGAGAUUUGCAUAUAAGAUGCUAAGGUGGGUCUUGGGCUGAAUUACUAUGAUUUGUGCAUGAGAACAUUCGGUUGAGUCACACUAUUAAACUCAAACAUGCACACAUGAGAAGAAAAGGUAAAAUCACAAAUCAGAGAAGCUUCAGCCGGAUUACAUAUUUUUAAUGGUUUCUCUUGCUAGAAAUGCGAAUUGACCAAAUGGUUCCUCUGCAUUGAUCUUGGAUUUUAAGGGUUUUCAUUGUCCAUACUGCUGUGAUUCACUAAUUUAUUCUCAUUUUCAAGGGAUUAGCACUCAUCAGGUAAUAUUUUGAAUUCAUAUAGCGUGCAUAAAUAACUAUCAUAUGCAUGACUAUAAAUUUGAAUACUAUAUAGAUAUAUCUGUAUGUAUGCAUGUAUAUUAAAUUUGUAUAGACACAUACACGUUUAUAAACUAUGUACAAGGUAUAAGCUCAUCCAUUUUAACGCACUUUAUCACUUUAAGUGAUUUUAUUAAGAGUUAAUCUUAUAUAUAUUUACAAUGUAUACAGUACUAUUAGGAUUGGAUAUAUGAUGCAUAUGCAAGAUUUGAAUUUUUAAUUCAAAUUAGAUUAAUUGUUAUAUAUCUAAUGGUGAUAAUGUAUACACUAUCAGUAUAUAAAAAAUUAUGUUUUAAUGAAGAUCCUUCUUUCACUGAAAUUUAGAAUUUCUGACUUCCACUUCUUUCUCCCUACGACAUUCAAUGCAAUAACAUCUUGACAUUGGCACAUUCAACAUGACCCUCCAGACAUUCAGGGGGUCAAAUUUAUGCUUGCACCAUUUGUACAUUUGCCAAAAUUGAGACUAAGAAUUAACUGUUCCAAUGCUUCAAGAGUUGGUCCUAUGCCAUUUUCAAGGGAUCACCUGAAUUCAAGUAAUAUAUAGUUUUUGAGAACUAUUCCGAGUUCGAAUUAAUGGACAUCAAUUCACCCUUAAAUAGAAGCAAACGGAGAAACACCAGAGGGAGCAGUAGUUCACAACUUCAACUUGUGCAUUCAAGCCUUUCUCUAUUCGUUCUUAUUGUCGUCGAUGUAAAGUACAAAUUGAAGAAGUUGAUAUACAUAGAAAGGGACUGCCACCGAAAUAGCUUAAUUAUAAUCUUAUCUAAUAUUCCAACUUCAAUAGAAACACUACUCGUGCUGCAGCUGCUAUAAACUGCAAACUGCCUUGUAUUGAUAAGAAAAUUGAUCCCCUGAAUAUCUGUAAAGGAACCACUGAAGGAACCACUGGGCCAAUGGCUCAGAGGCCACCAGGGAGGGAUUUAAGUCCCUCCUUGGGCUGUUGGCGAGGGUUCAAACCUCACCAGCAGCAAAAAAAAUCUAAGGAUUGUGCCAUAGCACUCCCUUGGUCUAGUUGGGUUUGUACACCCACUAGCCCCUACAAUAGCUUCCUUAGGCUCCCCCUCCCCCUAGAUUAGGAUAGCCCUAGAUUAGGAUAGAAUAAAUAAUACAAAUGUAUCGUAAGGGCAUCGUGAUGGACUGGGAUUCUUGCAAUUGACACAGCAAUUUCACCAUGCAAUUGAUCACCCUAGAUUGGUAUAAUUUGAAUUUGAUUAAUGGAUGAAAUUGAUCGCGGGACAUAACUUUCAUUUGGUGACAAAAUUUGUUUUCUUUUUGUACAUUAUUCUCGUAAUGUCAAGAUUUGCAAUUUCAAAUCAUAAUAUUGUAUCAUAUUUACGGGAUUUGUCACUAAAAAAAAAAAAGUAUCAUGCAACAAUUGCAAAGACUUGAAUCGCAUGGUGACAUGUAUAUUUGGACCGUGGAAGACUAAAGAUGAGAGAGCUCAACGCCUGUCUACAUCUGUUGUGUUAAUGAUUACGUUGUGUAUGUCGCAAUUGCAAAAGCCGGAAUCCCAUGGUGACCUGUAUAUUUGGACCUUGUGCGUCUAAAGAUGAGAUAGCUCCAUUCGAAUUCCAGAAUUAGUCCAAAAUUCCAGACAACUACAUAAUAUUUGUCAAUAUGCAUGUGGACGGAAAUACUUGCAAUAAGGCAGUAGAUAAGGCCUGCAACAAUCAUGAAAUAAUUUAUGUAACAAAAUUAAAAAAAACAAAAAGAAAUGCCUAGAGGCUAGAAAGAACGAUAGGAAAGGGAACCAAUUAAAUAUGAAAGUAUAUGUGGAGCUGUGCUUGGGCGGCCAUGAAUAUUAUUAUCAUAAGGGAUCAUCAUUUCUACUAUUUAUUUCUGGUGAGAAUUUCUCUUCUAGAAGAGAAGAAUGUGCCAAAUAUCACUUUAGCCUUCCAUGAAACUUGAUAGUUGUUUUGCAAAGAACAAGAGCCCACGAGUGUAUACGGUUGAAUCCAAACUUCGCUGUGAGCUACACGAGUGUAUUUCAAGUGUCGUCACUUUGAUUUUUGUUUUAUCUUCUGACUUGUGUUUUUACUUAUAUUUUCCUUCAAGAAAGAAAAAUCCAAAAGCAUGAAGUUUAUCAGCCCAUAUAAGUAAUGAGCUAAGUUAAAGAUGGAGCCUUAGGUCCUUGAUUCGAACUUUGCUGAAGAUGGAGUCAUAAGUCCGUGGUUCGAACUUUGCUGCCAGCAAGUUGCGGAGAGUGAGGAAUAGUCUGCGGGAUCCACUUCUUGCGGGACACCCCUAAAAAAAAAUACUCGUGACCUUCUUGUCAUUGGAUUGCUAAUUUUUAAAAUUUUUAUUGAAAAAUAUAUUAUAAAGAUUUGAUGUAUGUAAAGUAAAAAAACGAUUUCAAAAAUGAUGUAUUUAUGAAAAACGUAAAAGUUUUUUUUGAAAAAAGAAAAAAAACUGCAAUUCAAACAAGCCUUACAUCUUGACGAUUCCAAGUGACUUAGGAAAUUAACUCAAGGAUAAAUUUGGUUAGACAAUUGUGAUGCCAAAGUGAUGCACCACCUUCUUGAAGAAGCAAAACCCUUUAUUAGACAUAGACAAACAACCAAAAAAAUACACACAUAAAAGGAGAAGAAAGCUGGGAGAAAAUAGCAAAAAUCAAACAAACAACCAUACUAUAUCCUGUUGCCCAAACUCUAGAUUGAGGCUUCUAUCGUUUUGAAAAAAUUCACGAGGAUCAUGUUACAUUUGCACUCACAAUAAUUGGUUGGAUGAAACAAGUCAUGAAAGCUACUGCAUGAAGGUAUCAGUGUAAAUAAAAAGUCUCACCCUUUUUUUUUCUUUUAUUUUUUAGUAAGGGACAUGUGAAAUUUAAGGAGUAUGGAGCGAGAGGAGGAUUUUAAUUCAAUACUUCUAAUUUUUGAAAUUCAAUCUUAGCCAUUAGACGUGAAGUCUCCUUUAUGUUAGCAACUUAACAAAUAACGACAAAAAGAAUGUAAUCAAAUCUUUAAAGGGAAAAAAGUGAAAUGGUAACAAUCAAGUCAUUUUGUGCAACUGGAGAUUAUAAAAAAAAAUAGAAAAUAAAUGAAAAAAAAAAAACUGGUAUCCAAAAAUAAGAAAAUAAAAAAAUGCAUGCAAAGAAAAAAUCCAAGGCACGAAAACCGUUGCCAACAACUUCUUUGCAUCAUGGACAUAUCAUAUUUCGCGUUGACCCUCAUUUUCAAUAAGUUACUGCAUUAUGGGUACAAGUUGAAACUGCAUUUUUGCUUCUACUUAGUACCUUUCGGUUUUCAGAAUUUUUCACCCCCAGAGAUCCUACGAUCUUUCAAGAGCUUGCUUCAAAAUUUUGAUUUUAGGGGCCAAAAGUACCUCAAAUUUCUAAAAUAUGAAGAUUGUGCGGAGCUUAUUUACACCAUUUUUGACAUUGUGAAAUUUACAAAAUACUACUAAAAAUGUUACCUAUUGUACAGAAUGAUUGAAGAUUCUUUACUAAACAUUUCACAGCAGACAAUCGUCCUGCCCCACAUAACAUGUUGCUGCAAAAUGGACCAAUCUGGUAGCAACCAACUUGCAUCUCUGAUUUAUUUUAUUUUGUUAAGUACCCCCAAACACUUCAGAGGUAUCACCUGACAGAUAUGAUUGUUUGUUAGAAUCCCAUCAAAGGUCGUCUGUCCUAAACAGUAACACACAACAUUAUUGCCUUCAAUGAAUGCAGUUCCCAGUAACAAUUUUUUCUUCUUUGGGAGGGGUAAUGACUUAAUACUGUCUUUUAUUUUCAAAUUUUAAACUCAUGAUUGAAUUAUUAUGUCCUAUUCCUUUUUCAGUCUCUAAAAAUACUCAUGUUUUUUCCAUAGACAGAAGAAACACACACACAGUUAGAUUAGAAACACUCAGGAGUCAUCACCAAGAAGGACCCUAAAGUCAGUCUAAAAAUACUCCUGUUUGGAUUGCUAUUUUUAGGGGAUUUUAUAGAAAAAUGUACUAUAGUGAUUUGAUAUAUAUAAGAUAAAAUGGUGAUUAGAACAUGCGUUCACGAAUUGAAAUCUUUAGAAGAUUUUAUAUAAUACUGUACUAUAAUGAUUUGAUAUAUGUGAGGUAGAAAAAUAAUUAAAAAAUGUAUUCACGAAAAAUAUGAAAUUUUUUCUAGAAAAGAUAACAAUCCAAACAAAAACGGCUUGUAAUGGAAUGUGUGGCUGAUUCUAGUCAUCCCAUUCCCCGAAAAAAAGACAAGGCAAAGAGAAUAAAAGAAUGGAUGACUAGAUUCUGCACUGUAUUACUACAAUUUUACAAGAAUAGAUCAGUUGAAAUUAUAAAAAAAGAAAUCUAAUGCAAGCCUUGGUUCAACAAAUAUUGAAAUCUGAAAUUCAAAAUCAUGAGACGUAGAAAUUUUUUUAUCAUAUUUAUUUUUAUGUAAAUCACUUGUUCCAUGGAAGAUCAAUUUCUAGUAUCACUCUAAUUCAUAUACUCCCUCCAUUACUGUUAUAAUUCAACUUUUCUUUUGAUAUAAUAGAACAGAACUGUACACAUACAAGAGAACAUUCCCUAGUGUUGGCAAACCCUCUCACUAAUCUAUUGACUAUUGUACGUUUACCUUACAUCACUAUUACAAUCGACUAAUAAAAAAUUUUUGAGUUAAACCCCAUUCCAUUGCAAGAGCUCGGGUGCAAUAAGGCUUACCAAUUUAAAUUUUACACAAAACAUUAGUUGCUUUUUAUUUUUUCCGUUUCAAAGAAAUAACUUUUCGAGAUAGAAGAACACAUUUACCACUUGAAAAUUUUGAAUUCUUAAGUUACAUAUAUCUGAAUUCUUUUCAUACCAUCUCAUAAUAAAGGUGACUCUAACGCUAGGACGGAAAGAGUACGUAACUGUCUUUUGGUGUGGACAUCUUGUCUUAUAAGCGUCAACCACUCCAAGCCGUACUAACCAAGGAAUUGUGUUGGUUUCUUUUGCAAAAUUUCUACUCUCAGUACGGGAUAUAUUAACAAUUAGUGAUUAAGGCACACUCGCUAUGUGUGCAACAAUAAAAACAAGAAUAUAUAUAAAAUUAUUUCAUGAAAAUCUAAGCAUGAAAGGAGAAAAUAUUGUAUGGAUUGAGGUAAUUUAGAAAGCAUGAAAAAAUGAAGAAAGAAAAGAAAAAAAUCGUGACAAAUAUUUUAUUUCAUAUUUCUAUCUCAAUCAUAAAUUUAGAUGAAAUGUAACCUAUAUCGCAAGACGUUUCACUUGCAACUGGCAGGUUACGGGUUCAAGUCAUCAAGAGGAUAAGUAAAGAAUUACUGUUAAUCUUCUUUAAAAAAAGUCCGUUCAAUCCGACAGUUCAACUGAUCAACCUUGUAACCUAGUCAUUUAGUCAAGUUGGAUUAGUAGUUGGAACAGAUAAAAGAAGAAGCUGAUUGACUAGUCAAUUACAUAUCGAUUCAACUGAUAAAAUUCGAUACAUUGGCCGAUUCAACUGCCAAUUCAAUAAAUUGUAUUAUUUCAAAAAAUUUGAACAUACUAUUUUGUGAUAUAUAACUAUCGGUUCAACCAAUAGACAUGUAGAGAACCAUUAACCUGUUAAACCGAUUGCCUUGCUGGUUUAUGUCCUAGUGGGAUUUAAUAGCCAUGGUUAACACUUCUGCUUUAAUAUAUAAAUUUGAAGAAUGUCAGAAAUAAAUGUGGAGAUGUUGUAAAUAAAAAUAGAGAAAUUAACAGAGUAAAAGAUGGGAAGACAGGGUAAAAUAGUGACACAUUUUAUAACACUAUAAAGGGCUUCGCACUGAGUCUAAACGGGCCAAAGUCGAUUAAUCCUUUCUAUCCAAUUGGCAAUUGCAACAUCUGAUUGAUAUCAUCACCACAUAAGCCAAAUCGACAGAGGUUCGGUUUCAGUUACAAAACAACAAACGCUAUUGUUAACAAAUUGAGAUUCUGAUGAGCCAUAUUGGAAAGGAGGGGUAAAGAAUAAAAGAAACAGGCAAGAAAAGUUGCAGUUCAUGGAGAAUUAUUGUGAAGUACUAUGAUGAAAGGAGUAACUAGCAAAAUGAAAAUUUUUGGACAAACUUCAUUCAGGCAUUGGCGGAGCUCUUCUGUUCUCGAAGUACAUGUCCGAGUAAUACGUGUCUUGGCGGACUUUGUUUUUCUUCUUAUCAUGUUGUAUGGAAUUAUUGAUAUAGUCCUUUGCCCCCCAUCAUCUUCCAAAUAUUUGGUCCAAUCAUUUGUCCAUUGUCAUCUUAAUCACUGUCUUAUUCUUUGGAGGUGGAUCUUCCUUCAUAUCCGGGGCAAAAAGAUGUCGGUUUGAGUGUCGUUUACUUGGAUAUUCAAGAGACCCCCACCCCCCCCACAACUCUUUAAGUCCUCCAUAGCCCUUGUCCGUGUCUCACUCUAUACACAAAGACAAAUGGCCAACAGGGACUGCUCAUUUUGGAUGCCUUCGUGUGAUUUGAUUGAAGUUAUCCUCGAGGCACUUUGUAUUGGAAAAGUUACUUUAAUUCUCCACUACUCUCCAAGCACUCCUUUAGAUUUGGCAAGCGUAAUAUACAAAUUAACAUGGGCAUGACUUUUGGACUACAUAAAACUUGUUCUCUUAUAUAUGAGCUAGUCUAAAUGCAUGACACAUAAUUUCUAUUCAAAUUUAAAAUUUUUUUUGUGUGCAAAAGAAGGAUAGUAACUUAUUUGCAAAAAAAAAAAAUAUAAACACAUUUUCAAUCAUCUUUUCAUCUUUUUAACUAGCUUCUCAUCCCAUAUACAUCAGAUUACAAAAAAUAUUACAGUACUUUUUCAAAAAAAUUAUUCCAAAUAAUCUUCUAUCCAAACACACUCCUUAUUUUGUACAAUCGUCCUUACACCUGCAUCUUCUCGUGUUGAAAGAUGUCUAUAUAUUGUCAAUGUAAGACAAAUAAUAAAAAUAGUUGAAAAACUUACCUCAAGUAAUAAUCACCGUAACGAUCCUUACGAGGUACAAAAAGAAGAAAAAGAAAAAAGAAAAAGCACUUUAUUUUAACCCACAGUCACACUCUGAUGAUCAUUUGCAUCCCCAAACCCAUUUAAAGGAGCACAAACCCUAACUAGUGACAGUGCCUUGUCAAAGUGUUUGGCUUUGGUGCCAAGAUACUCAGUCCAAGUGACUGGCCUGUAUAGAGGAGGGCGGCCUUGGUCUACCAGUUUUUGAAGUGGUGAAAUUGUAACACCGGAUGGGGGCCCAUAAAGAUAAGCUACGGAGAACCGAUGUCGGGUCCGGUUCACGACGGCCCGGUGCAGUACACUAGGGUACAACCCGUUGGAUAGUAUGUGAAGGAGGUCCCCAAUAUUGACCACCAGAGCUCCGGGAAGAGGAGGAACCGUGACCCAUCCGGCCCCGCCGUCACGGAGCACCUGUAAACCACUGGUGUUAUUCUGGUGGAGGAUGGUAAGUAUGGUGGAGUCGGUAUGCGCAGCUAGACCCAUGGCCCGGUCGGGCUCCGGACAGGCCGGGUAAGAGUUCAAUUGAAUGGCAGCAUUUCCACCUUCAAAUGCUCCUUUAGGGCUAGCCCAUUUCACCUCUUCCUCGGUUACGCCCAGUGACCCAAGAAUUAACCACAUCAGCUUCCCCGCGAGCUUUUUCAUUUCCUUCUCGUACUCUUUCAUUACAUUGCUGCAGUAAAAAUUAAAUUAACUGAAAGUUAAUUGAAGAAGUUGUUUAAAGAAAAACAGCAUGCCUUUUUGUAUUCAUUCAACAACAGACUAAGAGGAGAAGGGGCAAAAGGGAAUCUUAAUUUUAGGAAUCUUAUCUAUCUAGCUAAAUUCCAUAUCUUAAUUGUGGGACCAUGUCAACUUUGAUAUAGGUAAUCUUUACCUAUUGGAUCUUAUUGGAUCAAGGAGAUUGUCAUGUACUUCCCUCAACUCAAGUCCCAAAUCGAUAGUAGAAAUGACCCCAAAAUUCAUCCCAAAAAAAUUAGAUGAACAUAUUCUACAUUUGCAAAAUGGAAAGUGAAAAUCAAUUUAUACACGUGCAUGAGUAGGUAAGGAUGGAUGUAUACCAGAAUUUAUGGUAAUCAUGGGGCCAAAGUUGACGUGCAUGUUCCAGUGGAGAACCAACAAUGGUGAACCCUUCGGACCACAUAAGUUUAGGGAAGAAUGAAGAAAUACGAGCGACUCCAUAGCCAGAGACCCCCUCAGGGGAACGAGCAGCUUUAAGUUUUUGAUGCAUGGGGAGCGAGAAAAGUCCUUUUCCGGCAGACUCAAUUUCCUCGAGCAAGUUCUUGGAGAUGCCAUGGUUUUUGACUUGGAAAACGCCCCAUGUUCUGCAUGCAUGGCCGAGUAAAUCCUGGGCAUUUUUAUCAGCCAGAUCAACAACAGGAACCGUCUCAACGUUGAGUAAUUCGCCACGAGGGUAGUCGUCCUUUGGCGGAGCCGUAGUCCAUGCAUGGGAGUCAGGUAACUUCUUGACUCUGCUUAAGUCCAACUGUUUAUGGUGGAAGUAGACAGGCUGAGCUCUCAUGCUAUCUGAAGCCCUUGAUGGCAUUGUUUAUAGCUAGGUCAAGAAACAGGAAGAUUUUAAUCAGAAAUUGAUGUAUGGAAGUUGCAAUACUCCGGCAAGGGGCGGCGCUACGGGUGGAGGUGGAGGGACUAGGGAGACUUGUGAUGUAAGUAUCUUGUGAGAAGUGAGAAAGAAUUGAUUUUAUGCAAGGGAAUUGAUGGUGUCUGCCUUGUAUAUUUAUAGGGAUGAGGGGAGAAGAUGGUGACGAGGUGGAUACAAAUAGUUGAUCUAUUGGAGAUUAUGGAGUAGCAUAAUUUUUGUUGUUUUUGUUAUUAUUUUUAGUUUACCUUUUAGUGGUCUAGGGGUUAUCAAAUUUUGGAAGGGACAGAAGUGAUAGAAGGUUAGGCAGUCAUUUACUAAUUUUGUAGUGGACAAGUGAAAGAAGAAGUAAAGAUAGACCAUCAUGUCCUACAUGAAAUAUGAAGAAAAGUAUAAAUUGCCAUCUCAUCGCUCAAAACAAUAAAUUAAAAUAAAAAAAAACCAAAAAAAAAAAAGGGCAUCUCAUCUCACAUUAACCAAGCUGCUAUUCCAUGAGAGGACUGAGGAAAGAGUCAAUCUCUCUCCAUGUGGCCGUGUCUUGUCUUCAAGUAGAAAAACAUCUACAUCACCCUCUUCACUGCUUGGUCUAGAUCUCUCUUGGCUAUAGGACAAGGAAUACUAUUUUGCCAUAGCUUUUCUUCUUUGUCCUUCUCUUCUUAGUUAAAAAAUUGAGGAUAUAGGGAUUCUAAAAUUAAUCGCAUGUACUAGUAGUUGAUAUAGGGAUGGUUAUUCUGUCCUAUGUCACUCCUGUAUAAAGGGCUUUAAGAAAUUGAUUCAGAUUGAUUACGAUUAUCCAAUCAUUUGUGAAGAUACAUAUAUCCUACGAUGUAUUCAGUCAAACUUUUAUCAAGGGGAGGGUCUAUAAUUAAUUUUGGAAAGUUACAGACUACUACUCUUAGUUACCACAAUUUAUUAAUGUUAUCCUAUUUCAUUAUGUCUACUUUCACUCGACUAUCUAAUGUCUCCAAUGGUACGAGAAACGAUGACAAUUGAGGGAGUUUAUAUACAUACAUCUAUAACUUACAUCUUAUGUGAUGCUAAUGUUUGAUGUUUGCCUUACCCUUUUACCCUUUUGUACGGAUGAAUCCUCUAUUUAUCUUAUAUGAUGCGCUGCUUUGGAUUGGUAGGGGACCCUAAAAAUUGUUAAGACCUGUUUUGGUGCCCUACAUGAUCUGGGCAGGAGGUGAUAGGAGACCUAUUUUGGGCUUAGUCGUUCAAAAUUCGAAUCCGACUGUGACAAACAAGAUAACACCUAAUAAAGAAAAAACCGCAAAAAAUAAAGAAAUAAAGAAACAGAAAUCAAAAGAAAAUUAAAAAGGCCAAUUUUGUUUCCUUGUGUUUUUAUUUUUCCAGUCAAACUCAGCAUUAUCAAAUUCAUCCGAGUCAAUAACUGGCCAAAUUUUUUUGGUUUAGCCGGACCAAACAACCAACCGUUUGAUUCUCGGUUGAACCGGUUGAACCGACUAGGCCCAUACAAGUUUUAUGAACCGCUUUUGUACGAUGGGGGAUGGGCAUUAUUGUCCUGCCAAAGACAAAAAAUAAAAAUAAAUAAAUAAAAAUCAGGCAUCUUUCGUGCUUUUUCUUCUUUGCAAUUGGUCAUUUCGGUGAUAAGUAAUAAAGUUACUUUUGGUAUUUUGCGGUUUAGAUUUGCCGUCUUUUGUCCCAUAGUAGACCCAAGAGUCGGACCAUCUCUAAAUCAUCAUCUUUAAUCGAAGAACAGAAUUGAGACUGUUUUGUCUUAACAUUCGCAAAGGGGUCAUUUUCUGAUUAUGUGUCAUGCUUAUGCAAAUUAAAGUCUUUUACACUAGAAUUCUGUGUCAAAAAUAAUUGCUCACAGAAAAAUCUUUUACUAACCCCAUGUAAGAACUAAUUCAUAUGCUACUACUCAUCUGUAAGGGUGUGACAGCUUGGUCCACUAGCAUCUGAUUGGACUGACAGAUGCAUUAUAUUAAGUAGACAUGAUUAGAGUUGGAUAACCAUUUUUCUAUCUCUGUCUCAAUUGGUUGCUUUCUGAACCAAAACAGCUAACUUGUGGAUUGUAUUGUAUGCAUACGAAAGAAAUGGGCAGCUGUUGCGAUGCUCAAUUGCACAUGUUCCUGCCGAAUGGACCAAGCAGGUCGCAGUCAACUUGCACCUCUCAUUUAUUUUUGUGGCAUUAAGCGAAACGUGAACAUAGGUUUCAAAGCAAAUGGUAUGGCCCCUAGAAUUAACUUUAUCUGAAGAAAAGGAGGAAAAAUAGGAUGUAGUUAUAGAAUGAGACAUCUUUCUCUUUAUUUUUAUCGCUUAAUUCGACUAAUAGCCGUAUUUUAUAUCUUUUUUAUUUAUUGUGUUUACCUCCAACUUCAAGAAGUCGAAAUUUUUUGGCACGAUAAUAGUAUUGAGCAGCAUCCGUUUGAAAUUUUGAAUAUGGUGCUGCACCAUGUCCAACGUGCAAGACCCAAAAACAAAAACCCCACAAAAAAAAAAAGAGAUUCAUUGUACGUGUCUUGUAUUACUUUGAUAAUUAUUCACUCAGAAAGGAUUGACAAAAGGCUGCCAGUGGUAUAUGUUGGUGAUUUUCAAUGUCAUUUUAAGCAGAGGUUAAUCCAAAGAGGUUGGGGUACUUAGAAACUCGUGUUCGUCUAAGAAAAACUCAGACAAGAAACUACCUAUGAGUGUAGAUUAAUUUUUUUUACACCAACAAUGUAAUAUUUUGUUUACAUUACUAAGUGUAAACGCGUUACAUUGUUCCAAAUGAAUUUCAAAGUUGAAAAAAAGCUUAUGUAUGUCGUACAAUCAAACUCGCUAAACAUGCAUAAUAGGAAAACCUUUACAGUAUUGGCGUCCAAAUAUGGGAAUAAAUUUUCUAGGUUAUCAAUGAUAGCAUUUGGGUUGCUAUGUUUUUAUUUGUAAUGGUAUGUGACGAUUUUUUCUACAAAGGUAGAACUUGAUAGAAUUUGAUUUUGUUACCUGCAGAGUACAAUGAAAUACAUCAUUCAGAGAUGGAGACGUGCUCUUGGUGUUAAUGUCUGUGGCAGUGGCCUAGAUUCCUAUGUGGUAGGAAGGUGGCGGCUAUGGUCUGCAGUUUGGGGUGUGGGAUUGAUAUAAUUGAGGCUGUGCACUUGCUAAAGGUUGAUCCAACAUUGUAGCCAAGCUCUUUUGGGUACUUGAUGUGAAGGUUUCAAGUUGAUUCAAUUAUUUGCCGUGGAAGCCUAUAGGUAACAAAGGGAUUUUGGGGCUGCUCAAAUCUGCUGGAGUUAGUUUAGAACUUUUGUAAUUGACCAAUUGAAUUUGAGAACUUGUUGGAUUGGUUUGGAGGAGUGAUAGGCUUGUAGCAAGCAAGGAUGAAGCAAUGAAGUAGAUACAGAGGACCAUUCUUUUCCCCUUUUUUGUGUUUUUAAUUAUGACCACAAGGUUAUUUUAGAAUUUUUGAAAAAAAAAUAACCUUUUAGGUCUACAAUAUUAUUGAAACUAUGAAAAUAUGUAGAGGUGUGCAAAAUCGAAAAAUUUUGAUUUACCGAUCGAAUUCGAAUUGAAUUCGAAAAUUUGAAUUCGGUAAUUUGGUGAUUCGGAAUGAAAAUCGGAAUUUCGAUUUCGAAUUGGUCGAAUUCAGUAACGAGAUUUUUCAAAUCGAAAUCGGAAUUCAGAAUUCCUAUUUCGAUUUCAAAUAUGUUUUUCAUAUAUAUAUAUAUAUAUAUAUAUAUAAUAUAAUAUAACAUUUAUAUUAUAAUAAUAAUUUUUAUAUUCAUGAAUUCGGUGAAAUCGGAAUUCCUAUUUCGAUUUCAAUUUCGUUUUCACACAUAUAUAUAUAAUAUUUUAUAUAUAUAUGUAAUAUAAUAUUUAUAUAAUAAUAAUAAUAAUUUUUAUAUUCAUGAAUUCGGUAAAAUCGGAAUUUACCAAAUUCCGAAUUGAAUUCGGAACGAAUUCGAAUUCGAAAUCUAAAUCGGUCGAAAUUUUUUAUACCAAAAUUUCGAAAAAUUUCGAUUUCAAAGUUUCGAAUUACCGAUUUCGAUUAUGAUUCACACCCCUAAAAAUAUGAGAGGUAGAUGUAAUUUGUAAACCUUGAGGGGAGCUACAUGCAAUUGUCAUAAGCUGUAGGGAAGGUUUGUGAUGUUAUCCCCAAAAUUCAUACAACUCUCCAAAGUCUAAAUGAAUACAAAUCUUGCCCUAAGAAGAAUCUUCUUACAUCUGAGCCAAAUUACAAUGUCUACUCUGUGGUUUGAGCAAAAUCAACAAAUUAAAAUCAAACUUCUUGCAUGUAAAAGCAUUUAACAAAUAUUCACUCACGUUAACUGUCAUUAAAAAUAUUAUCAAAAGAUAUGUUUGAAAGUCCCAAAAACCUAUUUGAAGUUUGAUUAUUUACAUUUACCUCCAUGAAUUCGGUCAAACAACUAAACGCACCUUAUAUUUUGAUCCAUUCAAUAUCCAACUCUUUGGUUAGCCAAACUAUUAUCAGAUAGACAUUCUCUAUGGUCAAUUUUAAGUAAUGUCAACGAAAGUUUUAUUGGAAUUUCAAAAGUAAGAACAAAAACUCAACUUUCAAUUAUUAACCUAAACAAAAACAAUUUUGGACCAAAUUGCCAAGUUUAUUGAGCUAAAUUUUCUCUUUCCUAUACUUAAUUCUAUAUGCAAAAUUAAUGAAUGAUUUCUGUAUGAAUUAGUGGGUUGGGAGAGUAUGAUAGCAAAUCAUAUGCGUCUAAAGCAAGGAAAAAGAAAUGUAAGGAAGUACUUUUUAUAAUUAAUUUUUCCAUUUGUUUAAUGUUUGAUGCUUUUAUGACUAGCAAUUGGUUGAUUUAUUUUAAUUUUAGUUUCGCUUUUUCUUUUUGGAUGUAUGUCAAGGACUUUCUGUGCAUAAUUUGCUAUUCAAAAGCUUUAGGCUACAUGUUUCUCAAACUAUAGGAGUCCAUUUUAUGAUUUGGACAAAUUUUAAAGGAGAUAAAUUUAUUAUUAGAAAAAAGAGGCAUUCUCAUUAUUUCCUUUGGUUGGGUUUGUGGUCGGUCGCUUGUAGGGGGUGAAUGUAAUUCGGUUAAACUAUAGAGUUUAUCUGGUAAACUUAGGGGAGAAAAAGGUAACAAACUCAACAAAAAAUAAAAAGAAACUCAUAAACUUUUAACUAAAUUUGUUGUUGUCACGUAGAGUAGCACAUAAAGUAGCAAAACAAUUCAAACGAGUGUUCAUAUAGCAACAAACAUUACCGACCCUGGAAAUCGCAUUCGAUCCUGAGCCCCCCUUAAAAGAGUCUUUUAUCGGAUCUCACCCUAAAAUUUUGAUACCUAUAACAAGUUUGACAUCUACAAACAAAUUUUUUUUUUUCAUAAUAGGAGUAGUGAUUUUUUAGAAUUCCAAGUAAAUCACCAAUUAUUUGAGAGUGAUUUUCUGGAAUUCCAAGUCAAUCACAGAUAUUCAAAUUAAAGAAAAAAAGGUGUAAAGAGUGACGGAAAAUAUCGAAUGCUGAGAGGGUUGAGAAUAAUUCUGAUUAUGAAUUUAGGGUUUAUAGAUUUUUGUUUAAUGUGAUUUCUCGUUAGUUGGAUCAUUGAUACACUGGCUGGAUUUUGUAAUAUUCAAGAAGAGGGAAUAGCCAAAUAGGUUUUGAGAUAGGAUUAGACUGAUGAAAUCACGUGAGUUGUUACGGGGUAAAAUUGGAUUAAUUAAAUCCCGUGAGCUGUUACAAGUGUCAAAUUUUCAGGGACUCCCUAAGGGAGCUGAGGAUUGGAUGCGCCUAGAAAUGUGUAAAACAAAUAUUAAAAUUGGUUAGUAAAAGCAAAAUAUCUUCUGGCCUUUGGGCAGUAAUUUGCUGCCACUAUUGAAACGACAAAGUGUAGCCAUCCAGCAAAACUGUGCAAGGAUACAAGCUUUCAGUUUAUCAUAACUGAUCAUAAUACUACAAAUGCAGGGUAGAUUGUUUGAACAUGCACGUCGAUCAAAUGGAUAAGCCUAUCAGCCAUUCAAGGUUCCAUGCAUGGUUGCAUGAUUUGUAGUGCCGACUGCCAAUCUUGCCCUUGUACCAAGCAUUUUAAAAUAUCACCAACCAUAUGGGAUUUCUCUGACAUAUUAUUGCGGCUCAAUCAUCAUUUUUCCAGAUUCUCUAUCUAUACUCUCGUGCAUGUAUGUAAUUCUUCAGGGGCUACUUUCAUUAGAUCAAAGUUUGACAGUGUCACAAAAUUUUGCAUUGUAUUAACACUCUAAUUUUCUCGUUUUGCCUUUUUCCUACCUUUCCACCCCUCCUUAUACCCUCUCAUUCCAAACUGCAAGAAAUAUAGGAUUCGACCCUUGAUAGUGGAGAAGACUUUAGAAGUCCUUCCCUAAAUACUUACCUCAGUGAUUUACUCUUUUUUCUCAUUGGAGAACCAUGAUUUGAAUUAUUUUGUCCUCAUCUUCUUUCCAUUCUUUAUACUCAUUAACAUACCAAUCAAAAUGGCUCGUGAGACACUAGAAGACGUUGUUGAUUCUAGUCCUCAUCAGUCAUCCUCAUCCCAUACCCAAGUUGGACCUCCCUGCAAUUCCCGAAGGAAAAACACGACAAAAGAGACUGAAAAAGAUUGGAUGACUAGUUUCUGCGCCGUACUAAUACAACUUUGCUAAGAUAGAACAGAGGUCGUAAAAAAUUUAGAGCACGAAAAUCUAAAUAAACCGGAUCUUAAUUCGACAAAAGGCGAAAUCUCAAGUUGGAAGUCACAAGGCACCCAAAAAAAUAACUAAAUUUGUGCAAGAUGCGUGAACCACUCGAAUCUUGAAUUUUUUUUUUUUUUUUUUUGUAAUUUUUUAAAACAGGGAAUGGAUGCAAUUUAAUAUAGCAGCUUUUCCAAGCAAGCCUCUGGAAUCUCCUGUAAACCCCCAUGAUUUGGUAAAGGGAGGAUAUUAGGGGAAGCAGUGAAGCCCAACAGUUAGCAUCCUCCCCUUUCUCCUAAAAGGUUGAAGCUGAAGUGGAACACACCAUUAAGAAAAAAAAAAAAAAAAGGAGUUCUGCAUCUCUCCGGCGCCGAGGGAACAAAUGGGCGUGGGGAUGAUUCUUCUUCCAUUCCAAGCUUAUCAACGUCGUAACAAGGUAGCUCUAGGGACAAAAUAUGGCUAUAGAUUGAAUCCUUUUUAUUUAUUGUAUUAUGAUAUUUAGAUAUAUAGCUAUGCUUAGGGGUAUGGAACUUAGCAAGGUUUCUCGAUCAACUGCUCCUGGGGAAUCCCCCAAGAUUUCAGGCAACUCUGACUCAGAAGCACAAAAACUCUGCUUGCUGGAAGCCCAAUUCUCAAAAAUCACGGGAGAAAGAAAGAGAAAUUCAGCAAAAAAGAAACUCAAAACCUCUAAUUCUUGGAAACCGUAGUCACCACUCCUGAAUACUUGGCCCAAGGUACUCUUUUGGUUUCAUCUGCGAAAUAUCUACUCUCAAGGACGGGUGAGGAUUAACAAGAUCCAGGCCAGUGUGUUUCUUAACGGGGACAAAGUUGAUUAAUCCGUUAAAUCCAAUAUGCAAUUGCGCCAUCUGAAAUUAUUACUAGAUAAACACAGUUGGCAAAGCAUUCAAUUUCAGUUGCAUAACAACAAAGAGGAUUGUCGGGGAUAGACAUCAGAAAUUUGGAACAAGAAUAUCUAAAUGCGAAUCUUGCUAUGACAAAAGAGUGCAGCCUCAAAUUGAAAGUCAUAUAAAAAUGUACUAUAUUUUGAGAACAUGGAUAGAACAUGGAUGAAAAAUUACAAUAUGCAAUGUAAAAUAUUUAUCUUUAUUUUUCACAAAAUAUACUACUUUAAUGUGCAUAGUGUAGUCAAUGUCUAUGUAUAAUACACUACACCUACAAACAUAAAGUACUAUUCUUUUUCUAUAUUUUGUAUGUAUAAUAUUUUCUUGUAUUGAAAAUGAAAAAAUAUUUAAAUAUAAUAUGCAAACCAUGUUAUUUUUAAUAUAGCUAUUCAGAAAAAGUACACCUUAAAGAUGAUUCUCUGAAACAAUUGAGGGGAAACUAUCAUAUACAUUAUCAUCAUUCAUUUUUUAUAAAGUGGAUGAUUUAAUACUUUACCUGCAUGCAUGAUUUUAAUAUAUAAGAUUUUGAUCUAAUAGUGCAUUAAAUUUGUUGAAGUGAAUCAUUUUUGUUUUUCUUUUCUACUACUUACUUUUCCUUUUUUUUUUUUUUUUUUUUUUGCUUUUCACUUUCCAUGUGACUAUUUUCUUCACUUUCCCAUUAGUAUUAUUGCUAAUUGUGUGCUUAUUUAAAUAUUUUAUUUUUCUCUUACUCAUAAUUUCAUUCUUACUUUGAUUCAUUAACUUAUUUAUUUAUAGUAUUAAGAAAUUCAUGAUAAACUAUAUAGCAUGACAAAAUAUUAAAUACAUGCCAUAAUCACAAGAGUAUAUAACUAGUAAUUUAACUGUUUAACAGAUAUUAGCAAACUAGAAUCUUUAUUAUAUAUUUCAGAGUAUAUGCCAAAUAAAUAAAGUAAGUAGUAUUCAUAUGAAUUUUAUGCAUAGACAAUUAAAAGUUAUGUGAUUAUGAUCUAUUUAUUGGUUAUUUUUUAUUAUCAAUUAAUUAAUGUAAAUGCCAUAUGGAAUAGUCUAUGUGGAUAGCUAAUAUAGACUUUGUUAUAGUGUAGAAUUUGUUAUCCUUAUUACAUUUUAAAAAAAAUUAGCAAAAUAAAUGUGAGAUUUAAGAAGAGGGAGAGGGAAGGGGAGAUUUGUGAUUAUUAUUACUUCUAACAGGAAAAAGUAAAUAGCACUAUAAAUAAAGAAUAUAUUUAUGAAAAUUAAAAAUAAUACAUAGAUAAUAAUAAUAAUAAUAAUAAUAAUAAUAAUAAUAAUAAAGAAAAAAAGAAAGUAGUUGGUCACAUGAAAGAAGGGAGAAAAAUUGAAAACCAAAAAUAAAAGGGACAAAAGAAGAAAAGAUAUAUAAAAAUAAUUACUGCAAAGAACAGGCACUUUUGCUUUUUUUGUUUAAAUUUCCAGCAAGGGAGAUGCACUUUUAUCCUAAAACAUCAUGUAGGAGCGCAAAGUAUCUAUUGAAUGAGUUCAAGUAGGUAACAUGCAACUCGAGGCAAAGUUCAAAAGGAUUUUACUGCAUUCAACCCUAAAAGAAGUCACUAAAUAAUAUAAUAUACUAAUAUUAGAAUUGAGACUCUUACAGAGUUUUUUUUUUUUUUGUGCAUCACCACCACAACGCACUCCACCAAAGGCCACAAGAGAAUGAAAGCUCAAGUUUCAGAAUUUUUCCCUUUUGUAUAAUUUGAGUUCUGCCUCGUGUUGUCUCACUUAUUUUGAGCUUUAGAAAUAUGUCUUGAUCUUUGUAUUCUUCCUUAUAAUAGCAAAAUUUGCUCUCUUCCACUCUUUAGAAACAUCCGUCGUCUAUUUGACCGAAUUACAUAAAUCUUAGUGUCUUUAUCUUUUAUUAUUUUACAUUUUUAUUAUAGUUUUCAUUAUUAAUUGUGUGAGUAACCAAAUAACUUUUGGCCAAAUCCUAACACAUGUUAACUGAUCACAACAUCAUUUGGUUCGUGUCCUAAUGGAAAUUGACCAGUAAUGGGCAGGCCUAUAUUCUCCGGGAAAAUUCUGAUAGAAAAUCAUGAGCUCUCAAAAUUUAGUAAAUGUUGAACGAAAAUGAAAACUUAAUUCGCUUUUAUUAGGCCUUGGCGGGCCUUUCGGUGCAUCCUUGGUUUUAGAUCAUUUUGGGUUCAAAAUUUUCCUCAGUUUUAUUUGGGCCCAACAUAAUCGAGUCCAAACACCCUUUGGGCACUUGGUUUCCCAAUCUGAAAAGCUUUAAUAGCCCGAGAAAUACAUAAAUUCAUUAACUAUCAAGGAACAGAAUGGAUUAAAUGGCAUAUGCAUUACUGAAAAUUAGAAUUUCAAUAGAAGAGAAAGGACGUCCAACAACAUCAGGAGCAAUUCUUUUAGGCACAACAAUGCCAAAUUAUCUGCAGAGUAUGAAGCUCUUCUCAAUGAUUUUUGCAUACUCUUCCAAGCUCCCCAAGCUAGUUGCUCAUGUAGUUGUUGCUAUAACUGAAUCAAUAUGUUACCAGUAGAUUUAUGAUCAUUCUUGAAAAUACAAAUCCGUGCUACAGUUAGAGGGUCACAAAGAAAAAAUUGUCCUUGUCACUGAAAACGAUUUUAGUUUUUUGUUAUUAAGGAUUACAAACAAAUACAACAUCUAGGUAAAGUCAAUGGAUAGCGUUCAGGUUGAAUCUGAUUGAUCCAAAUCCAAGCUCACUGCAUUUGUCAAUUACCGAGACCCUCAUGGUUAGAAAAUUCUAACUCGAAACCUUAUGGAUCUAGCUAGCCAUUGGGUAUGAACAUGUAUUUCUUGAUGUGCAAUUAGAAAUAAGGACAAAAUACUCAUAAUCCCCCCGUACUUCUGAAUGAUACCACAUGAUCUCCCCAAGGUUAUAAAAUGUUCACUUAAUCCCCUGUGAUUUUUAUGUAAAUUGAAAAUUUGAUGAAAAAUAGUUUCCGUAACAUCAUCAGUUGAAAUGCUAGUGUCGGACUUACUUGAAUACUAAAUUAAAUAAUGGCCUAACCAUUUUGCUUACCGUCAUAAUGGGAUUAUGUGGAUAGAUGCAAAACUACAAGGUGAUUAAGUGGAUAUUUAUCCAAAACUAUAGAGGGUUAAAUAGAUAUUUUAAAAUAGAUAUCCAAAACUACAAGGUGUGUCUCGGUCAAUUGCUAUAACCAGAAAUUUUUCAUCUAUUUUUCACUUUAUAUAAAACCAAAGGAGGAUGAUAUAUGGACAUUUUGAAACAUUAAAGGGCGUCAUGUGAUAUCAUGCAAAAGAAAGUACAAGGAGUUACAAAUCAUUUACCCUGAAAACAAAUUCAAAAAAUAAUAAAAACAUAUGAAAUUCAAAGAUAACAAACCUAUAAUCCAAAUGCCAUUUUCAAAUAACAAAAUCAACAUUUUAUACUAUAUAUAUCUAUGUAUGUGUGUGUGUACACACACACAUAGACCAUACAAAAUCCAAACUUGUAAUUCUUUCACCAUGUCUCAAUUCAGAUAGGGUGUAGGUUUGAAAAAUUGGAAAUCAACCUAGGAAAAUAAUGAGGGAUCUAGAUAACACUCAUCCCAUUGACGUGGGAGUUAAGAUCUUCUCCAUUAGAUUUCUUUAAAUAUAUUUAAAUUACUAUGACUUUAUAAAAUUAUCUGAUUAUGUCAUUACUUUUAUUUUAAUCUCUAGAUCAACAUACUAAAAAAUAAUAUUGCUUUGAGAAUGUUUUGGCAUUUAAUUUAUACUAAACAUUUGAAGAGUGAAAAAUGAGUCACAAUAAUAAACAAAUUUAUAGUGAUUAAUCAAACGAUAAAAUUUAGUCAAUUUCAUAUGAAAUUUUAUAUAUAACUUACACAAGUGAGGAAAUGGUGUCCGACAGCUUUUUCAAUUCCAAGAUCAUUUUGUUCACAUCUCUCACUGUUUUCGUCAAGCUAACCUAGUUGUAGAUAUCCUUUCUAAUGUUGGGUGUGUAGAUGUUUUGGACAAGUAUUGCAAUGGCAAAAAGUUACGGCAUGAUUCUCAACAGCUUCUACAAGCUUGAAGCAGCCUAUACUGACUUCUGGAACAGAUGCAUUGGGCCCAAAGCCUGGUGUGUUGGUCCUCUAGCGGAAGCCAAGCCACCAGUAUUAUUAGCUGAAGAAUCUGCAAAGCCAAAGUGGAGGCACUGGCUUGACAAAAAAUUGCACAAUGGAAAGUCAGUUUUGUACGUGGCAUUUGGAACUCAGGCUGAAGCAUCCCAAGAGCAACUGCUUGAAAUUGCAAAUGGUCUAGAACAAUCUAAGGUGAAUUUCUUGUGGGUCAUAAAAUCAAAACGGCUGGAGAUCUUGCAAGGGUUUGAAGAAAGGGUGAAGGAUAGAGGGAUCAUAGUGAAAGAAUGGGUAGAUCAAAUGGAGAUACUUAGGCACGAGAGUGUAAAAGGGUUCUUGAGCCAUUGCGGAUGGAACUCAGUUACUGAAAGCAUGUCAGCCGGCGUGCCCAUCUUGGCGAUGCCAUUCAUGGCUGAGCAACAUCUCAAUGCAAGACUUGUAUCGGAGGAGGUUGGUGUAGGCCUGAGAAUUAUGCCAUGCAAUGGAUCUGUGAGGGGCUUUGUGAAGUCAUCGGAAGUGGAGAAGAGAGUGAAAGAACUGAUACAAGGAACGAAAGGGGAGGCGGUAAGGAAAAAGAUGGAAGAGGUUGGAGAAGCUGCUUGUGAUGCAAUGAGAGAAGGUGGUUCCUCAUGGGAAACUCUAGAUCAACUCAUCCAUGAUAUAAGUAACUACACAAGAUUAACUCCUCUUAAUCAUGGAUUGGUAAGUGAACCUAGGACAGUUUCAGUUAGUUAAUAAUUUGUUUAUGUGUGAUGAAUUGGUAUACACUAUGGUUGUACGUACAGCAAUACCAUAUGGGGCUACUACAGUUUUAUGUAAAUCAACUUUCGUAACAGUACAACAACAUUAUACAUUAGCGUAUCCCAAAUCUCAUGAAAAAUACACAUCACCUGUAUGCAACCCCGAAGUCUUAACUGCAGUGUCCCUGGUUUGUAAUAAGUUGUCAAGCAACCGAAAUUGUUCUCCUAUCGUUUGGAAUCAACUUUGUUUUUCUUCUAUGUGUAUUGUAUUUAUUUGGGAUCCAAAAGUUAGACCUAGGUUGAUUUUAAAGUAGUGAAAUCUGAUUAAUAAUUUGGAAGGGCUAUGCAAUAGCGACCUCAGAACCUUGCAUCCAAAUCAACCUUGAGAUCCUUGGCUUUGAUUAUUCGACUUGUACAGUAAAUAAAAUCAUCCAAAAUGUCAAGAAGCAAACUUUCAUAAAAAAGCCCGUGCAAAAUCCUAGAAGACAUAUCUAGUCUACAGAUGUCUGAAGCCCACAUAUGCGUGUCUUCUACUAGAGAGUUAUUUUACAAGCACAACAUCAAAGAAGAAAAUUUAUUAUGCUAAUGCUACUACAACUGAAGACAAAGGGUUUAAAAUACAUUCAUGCAAUAGGGUGUACAGAAAUUAUCUAGAGGUCUAUGCGUUCACUACUUCUAUUGAUCUUAGAAAUCCAUCUAGUAUUUGCCCGCCGUGUACACUCAACUCGCAGGACAAACUAAAGAGUCUACUGCUGUUCUUCUUGCAUUUUUGUCAACAUCCAAGAAGAGAUUUCCAACCAAAUAGGAGAGAGAACAGAUACAAAGUCCAAAAGCCUUUUGUUUCGCUCAUACUUCAUAACGAGGCCUUUUCUUAAAGAUCUAAAGAAGCUCUAAACCUUCUUACAAGGGAUAAAGGAAAGGGAUCAAGGGAACGGGGAAAAGCUUAAGAGUAGAAUCAGGGAUAGACCACCACGUGAUCCUAAUCAUCCCAAACGCCCACCACUUGUACCUUGCUCUGUUGCUCAAACAAAAUAUUUCCAGCAGUCUGAAAUACUUCCUUAUCGCAACGCGUGAAUUUUUAAUGUGACGAAGGUUGGGUCUUUCAUACUUGAAAAUGCUACUGCUUUAGAAAUAGUUGUUUUAUUUUUUUUUUUUUUUGACAAAUUUGUCGCAUUAACCCCGCAACAGGACAAUUUUGAUAUGCUCCCUGAUAAGCUUGCACAUCACAAUGGAUGGCGUGUUAAAAAAGAUGAUCAGAUUCAUAAAGAUACAUCAAACGUUUGAAGGGAUUUAGAGCACUCUCUCGUCUUCUUCACUGCUAAGUCAUGCAAAUGAGAGCUGUUUACAGUCAAACUAGCUCGAAUAGGGUCCAGAAAUGGAACUUAGGACUUCAUACACUUCGUAGCCACAUGACAAUAUGUAUUCAAAUUCUGAAGUUGGUAAUAAAAUUCAAUUAGCAGAACAUUUUUGUUUCAAAACAGAUAAGAAAACUGAAAGGCCAACAGUUAAUGGUUCACUCUGUCUAACUAAAACUAUUUUUGCAAACCUUCAAAACUUUGAAAGAUACAAAAUGGAAUAAAGUGACGAGCCAAAUCAGUCUUUCAAUUUCCCUAGAACCAUAUAAGCAGGAGGAAACAUGACUUGACUUUGUUUCACUUUCAAAUAAGAUCCUUCGCAUCCAAACAAUAGCUAGCCAAAGCAAAUUGAAGAGCCACCUUAAAUGUCAUAUCUCAAAACGAAAGGUAGGAAAAAUAUUUUCAUCCUUCACAAAAUGACAUGCAUCCAUGAUGAGACCACACCUAGUUAAAACUAGUCUACAAAUGAUAUUUGAGAAAGUACAUCACAUGAUUCUCGAAUAAAUUCGCCUAGAGAUGGCUAAUCUAAAGCAGUUUUACGUACAUACAUAUUUAUCAUAUAAAGGCUGCAUUAAAAUGCUCUAGUAAUGUAUCAUAAACCCAGGAACCUACAAGUCCAAAUGUUUAAGAUCUCUCCAGUCCAAGAAGAAAGCUUUUAACCAUAUUCCAGGGACAUUACCUUCCAAAACCCCAAAGAAAAUGGCCUUGUCAUUGCAGUGAUUGGUGUAAAACCAACUACAGUGUCCAGAAAAUUGAACAUUAGCUUGUUUUGCCGCCUUAAAAUGCCAAGAGAUGCAUUCAUACUCCUGAAAAUAAAAUAAAAGCGUGCCCAUUGGCUGUUUAUGAGAAAUCUACAAACCAAACAACCAAGCUGAAAGUUGAACAUCAAACUGUCUUUUCUGCAGUCAGUUCUACGGAGCUCACACGCUCCCAUGAUUAACAAGGUACCCAUUUCUGUAGAAGAGAAAACCAUAGAGGUAGAGCUCUUGCCAUUCUUUGGUUUAUGUUGUAUUAUUCAUCAGCAUACAGAUAAUCAUCCAACAAAGGAGGUGCUUCCCGAAAGCAUUCUACGAAGUGUCCAUCUUUUAUCUUUUCCUUUUUUUUAUCUUUUUUUGGGUGGUUCUGACCAAAGUAUUGCCAUAUGCGUCAGAAAAACCUUAGUUGCAAGUUUUCCUUUAAAAGAAAAAAUAAUUAAAACUCCAGAUCAUGAACUUAGCGCAUUAAGAUUCAUCAAAUCUCCAUUACUCUUUAACCAAGGGUACAAGGCACAGUGUCAGAAAUAGUAACAAUCAUCUCUACACUUAGCUUAGUUCUUCUCAUUGUUGCUCUCCAGCUCCCUCCUAAGCUGCAGCGAGAAGUCAUCAUUUACAUCAUCAUCAUCCCAAUCAUCUUCCCACUGCUGGGUUACUUCUUUGCCUUCCUCUUUGUCCUCCCACUCUGCCAUUUCACAAUAAAGUGAAGAAAUGAUUAAAAUACAAGUGCAGACAACGUCUAAUGAACCUAUGCAAGAUCAGAAUCUUCGUUAUCAUCACCAAAACACAUAUUUAAUGGUAACAAAGAAUUCCAAAUAAUAAUGCUAAAACACAAACCAGCAAAACUGCAAGAAAGUGGAAAUUACAUGUGAGACUUUAGUAGCAUGAGGAAUUGAAUGAGAAUCUCAAUUGAGUGAAACUUAUCAUACGUGUCAAGAUUUACCUCAUUGCGUGCAUUUUACAGCAAAACAUCAAAAAUAAAAGCAAGCAGCUACAGAAUAACAAGAGAGCCAAACAGAACAAAUAAGAAGUAUGAACAGCCAUUAAAACAACCUAAAGUAACAAUGGUUACUCUACAUACCCUAAGAGCAAAAUACAUUUCAGAACUUUCUUGGCCAAACAAAUAUAGCCCUAAAGAUAAACAACAAUUAAGCUCCAACGUGGGGGCAGUUUGAUAAGGGUCCACCUGUCUGACUCAAUAAUUAUGCACUUGACAGAAAGAAACCCCCCCCCCCCAACAAAAAAAGAGCCCCUUCUUAUCCAGAAUAUCCAGGUAACCAGAGAAACAAUUGGCAUCUUUCCUCCUCUGGAUCCACUUCCUUUCUUUUCCCCCUUUGGUGCUCACAAAGAAACACACACUCCAACUCAACACACUGAACUAAACCCACACCGGUUGACCUGUUGAUAUAAAGAAAGAGGGAGGGGUGUCAAAUGGUCAGGGAGGCUUCGAAGUAAUGGAAGCCUAGCCAUUGUAAAAGGCAAGGGCAGAAAGUCCUGCAACAGUGGUUCAUAGAGGAAGGAAAAAGGUAGGAAAAGAGGGGCUGGCAGAUAGAGGGAUCGAUUUAUAACCAAGGAUUCCAGAGGCACUGUAACAAUGGAUAAUUUAGGGCAUCCUAUGAUAUGGCCACAUUAAGUAAAUUUAUGAAGGUUUUCAAUUCAAUUGUUGGCGAGGCCUCAACUUCCAGAGUUCUUUAGCCAUCCUCUAGGACCUUUGCAAUUAUCAUUCUAAAAAUUUACAAAAAAAAGACUACAGAUAUGAGAAAGAAGAAAAAUAGAUGGGUAUAGAAGACCGAAUUGAACUGAAGGGGGAAAAGCUAUGCUAUGAAACCUUGGCAGAGAAUGCAUUGAAUUCAAUUACACCUCAUCAAUUGGACCUUCGUUUUUGUGGUAAACACAUCUUCCCUUUACAAGCCCUUGCUUUUCCCCUUACAGUGCUUUAAAUUAUUUUUAAAAAUAAAGGACACACACACACAACAUAACCACAGACCCUCCCGCUCACAAGCAGCAUCAUGAACAUCAAUAACAAAGUUCAAUAUGCCCACAAAACAAACACACUCAAACACAACAAGAAAAUACAUACAUGCAGACCCACACAAUACCUGUUUCAAAUGGUCAGGGAGGCAAGGGAAGUGAUGAAAAUCUAGCCACUUUGGAAGGCAGGGGCUGAGUCCUGCACUGGUGGUUUGAAUAGUAACAAAAAGGGAGGAAGAUGUAUCAAUUUGUAUUUAGCCGAGGGUUCCAGAAGCACCAAAACAAAGAAUAAUUUGGGGCAUCCUACGAUUCGGCCGAAUAAGUGAAUUUACGAAGGUUUUGCAUUAAAUUGUUAGAGAGGCCUCAAUUUCCAGAGUUCUUCACCCCUCUGCUGGGACCUUCACCAUUAUUAUUGCUACAAUUAAUAAAAAAGGACUAUAUAGAUGUGGGAAAAAAAGAGAGGAUAGAUCUGCAUAAAGGACCGAAUUGGAGUAGAUCCUAGUCGGCGAUCUGGGAUUCCAGAGCUAAGCUAUACAAAGGCAAACUUGGCCAAGAAUGCAUUGAAUUAAAUUACAUCUCGUCCAUAGGAACUUCACUUGUAGUCGAACAACAAUGUAAGUUAGAUUUAAGAAUGUAAUAAAAUAAAUAAAAAAGGAAAAAGAGAGUGCUCAGUGAAUACGAACCUAUAGAAAGAGGUUCACAUUUUGAGAGAAUAUCUCACAAAAUCACUCAGAUUUCCUAUGCUAUCUUCAUUGCAACUCCCUACUCCAAAUUAUCCAGGUAAAGGGAAAAAACAUUUGACAUCUUCCCUCCGCCACAUCCCGUUCCUUUCGUUUAACCCUAAAAUGCUCACACAGGAACACAUUAAAACAGACAUGCCUACAGAACUCCCUCUCACAAGAAGAACCAAAAACACUAAUAACAGAGUUAGAAAUGUCACAACACAACACAAACGCACCAAAACACACACAAAAUGUAUACAUGCAGAGGCUACACAUGUUCACCUGUUCAUAAAAGAAAUGGGGUAUCAAAUGUUUUGGGAGGCUUGGGAAAUUAUGAAGGUCUAACCAACUUGAAAGGCAGGUGGCUGAAUACUGCAGUCGUGGUUAGCAGAGGAAGGAAAAGGCAUAAGAAAGGGGCCUGCAGCUAGAAUCAGAGGACAAAAGGGGCUGGCACCCAGAAGGAUCAAUAGACAAGGAUUCCAGAAGUACCAAAACAAAGGAUAAUUGGUACAUCCCACAAUUCGGCCCAAUAAGCAAAAUUACAAAGGUUUUACAUUCAAUUGUUAGAAGGGGCCUCAGUUACCAGAGUUUUUUACUUUUUUACCCCUCCACUGGGGCCUUUGCUAUUACUAUUCCUAGAAUUGACAAAAAAAGGGUAAGAUUAUAUAGACAUGAGAAAGAAGAAAAGAUAGAUCAGCACAAAAGGCCAAAUAUGAGUGAAUCCAAGACGGGCGAUCUGGGAUUCCAGAGCUAUGCUAUACGAAGGUAAAUUGGCUGAGAAUGCUUGAAAUUGAAUGACAUCUUAGCCAUAACACCUUCGCUUUUGUAGUUGGUGAUUUGCAGGUCAAAAUGCAAGAUUUGAGAAAUUGUAAUAAAAUAAACAAAAAGGGAAAAGAAGAGUCCUGAGUAAAAAUACGAACCAACAGAAAGGUCCAUGUUUUGCAAGAACAUCCAACAAAAUCACUUAAUUUCUUAUGCAAUACUUUAUCAUGACUCACUACUCCAGACAACCCAGAUAAAGGGAAAAACAUCUGGCAUCCUCCCUCCUCCGCAUUCCCUUCCUUCUUUUCCCCUUCAGUGCUCACAAAGAAACAUGCUACAAAUAACAUAUCUACAGACCCUCCCUCACCAGAAGCACCAUGAACACUAUUACUAGACCUGGAAUAUGUCUAAAACACACACACACACACACUGAAACAUGCGUACAUGCAGACCCAGACACGUUAAGCUGCUCAUAAAAAGAAACAGAGGAAGGGGUGUCAAAUGUUUGGGAGGCUUUGGCUAGUCAUGAAUGCCUAGCCAUUUUGAAGGCCAAGAGCUAAAAGUCCUGAAGCGGUCAUUUGCACAAGGAAAAGGGAGGAAGAAAGGGACCGGCAGGGAUCAAGAUCAACGUAUAUAUAGCUGAGGGUUCCAGAAGCACCAAAAUAGAGAAUAAUUUGGAGCAUCCUACGAUUCAGCCAAUAAGUAAAUUUGCGAAGGUUUUGAAUCAACUCGUUAGAGAGGCCUCAAUUUGCAGAGUUCUUUACCCCUCCGCUGGGACCUUCACAAUUAUUAUUCCAAGGGUUGACAAUAUACAUAUACAUAUAGAUGUAGGAAUCGAAAAGAUAGAUCUGCAUCAACGACCGAAUCAGAAUGAAUCCAAGUCGGAGAUCUGGGGUUCCAGAGCUAUGCUAUCCGAAGGCAAACUUGGCCGAGAAUGCAUUGAAUUGAAUUACAUCUCGUCCAUAGGACCUUCGGUUUUGUAGUUGGUGAAUCAUGAGUGAAAAUGUAAGAUUUUAGAAUUUGUACUGGUAUUCAAAAAGAAAGAGGGAAAAAGAGAGUGCUCAGUGAAUACGAACCAAUAGAAAGAGGUUCACAUUUUGCAAGAACUCUUGCUAAAUCACUUGAUUUCCUAUUCUAUCUUCAUUGCAACUCUUUCCCCAGAAUAUCCAGGUGAAAAAAAAUUCUUUGAUACAUGUAAAAUACUAAUUAACAAUAACAGUCUCACACAGGAAAAGAAAAUCAUAGAAUCACCAAGAAUCAAUUUACAUCUUACAGGCAUCAAAAUCUCGAAACAAACUGCAUUCGGUAAUUAAUAUAUACAACAAAAUAACCUAACCUAUCUAUGACAUCACUUUGCGGUGCAUCUACCGUGCAGACAACACAUGUAUUCAUAUAGCAAAAACCAAUCAAACAGGCGGAAAUAAAAACGUUCAAAGUAUUUACUUUGACUAAAAAAACCGAAGAUUACGCUGAAAUCAGAACAACAAGAAACUCGACAGUGAUUAGAGGUAAAAAGUCAAGCAAGGGAGUUGACAUACCCUGAUCAAUUUCAAACUCCUCAAAUUCAUCGUCGUCUUCAAAAAGAUCAAUCUUCGCGUCCUCGGUAGCUGCCUUUGGUUGCUCAGUAGUUGCCAUUGUCAGUCACUCAAAGCAAAACUACACAUCAAAUUUUUCAUAAAUAUAAGAAAUGUACAGAUCGUGGGUAAAUAACCUAUGUUGCCACGAAAGCCCUAGUUCAGAAAAUAAAUAAACAAAUCGAAAAAAUCAAACCAAAUAAUCAAUAAUCAGCUAACUAGUUAAUAUAUCAGUCAACACAACCAACAGACAUCGAGACUGCAAGCAAAAAUCGAGCAAAUGAAACGAACGUAUGACUUCCAUCACCGCAAAGAGGAAUUUGGAGAAAUAUAAAAUCAGAGCAUCCUUAAAAUAUGUAAAAAUAUGGAAAUACGAAGAAAAAUGAAUCGAAUAAAAGACAGAUGUAAUUACCUUACCAGCGUAUACUUGGUUCUUCGAUCCUAAAACCAAAAAAGAUCGGAAAAAGAAGAACCAGAGAUUAGCACAGCAAAUCCAAUCGAAGUAAGGUAGUCAAGAACGGGGUGUUUGGAAUGAAGAGGAAGGGGGGCUAGGGUUUUGAGAGGAGCGUACCUGAAAAAUCUGGAGGAAUCUUGUAGAUGGGGAAAGGGAUUAGGUCAUAAGCAAGUUUAUAUACUCUUUUUGCAAAAUCCAAAAAUGUUUUUUUUCUCACUCUCCUCCUCCCUAAAGGUUAUUCUACAUUGAAUAAUUUUUUGUUGGCCCUAAAAAGGAGCAAAAGUUUUCAAUUAAGCUCCAAAAAGUGAAAAUGUUGUAAUUUGGCUCUUAUGAUACAUUAUAAAAUUGAAUCUAACUUUAUUGACAAUACCGUUAUUGAUUGUAAAUCAACAAUCAUGCUCCCAAUGAGUUGAGAAGCUGAAUAUUUUUUUUAUGAAGAAGCUGAAUAAUCACUCAUUAGGACUUUUAACAAUAUCUUGCAUGAUCAAAAAAGGAAAUAUAAGCUUCGUUGGAGGUAAAAUUGAAGCAUUUCUAGUUUUUGGGGCUUUAUUAAUUACUUUGCAUGAUAAAUAUGAAGUAACUUAUUUGCUAUAUAGCGGAUUUGACUUCUCUUCAAUGGAUACUCUCUUCAUUUUUCACAGUAUACAUAUCUUCAUUUAUUAAUAAGAGUUAGGAUUAGUCGAACUUAAAAUGAUUAUGUUCCUAAUAAUGAAAACAUGUUAUGCAUCUAGAUGUACAUUGUAAAAUAUGGAAAGAGAAUACACUAGAAAGGAGCCAAUUCCAUGGUAAAAGUUGAUUAUACUAAGUGAUCUACAAAUUUGUGAAGUAAAUUACUACUCACAAUGUAGGGAAAAUUUUAAUGUAGCUUGAAUUUUGGUACCCUUUUUAUCAACUCUACUACCCUAAACUUUGUUAGAUUUAUACAUCUUCCCACUUAGCCGUUGCAUCUAUUUCAUUUUCCGUUUCUAAGGGAAUGCUUGAUUCAAGUUUAGGAAUCGGAAUUGUAAUUGGAAUCAUGUCCAAAAUUUGAGUAUGGGUUCUCAUCAAGGAUAUCAUUAUAAUAAUUAGUGUUUGGUAUAUACUUAUAAGUUUUUGGAAUCAAUUUUUUUUCGUUUUCUUGUCUUUAUUUUUUUUUUCUUCCUUCCCAUUUCCUGCUUCCUUCUUCCUAGCCUUUAAAUACUCAUGUUUCACCAAAUUCUCUUAAACCACCACCAAUCAACUUUAAAAUUUUGUGGAGCAUGGGAGAGCGACUGACAAGAGAUAAGAGAAAAGCUUACACAAAAAGAAAAAAAAAAGAGAGAAGAGAAAACCAGAUAGAGAGGAGCGAUUGUCGUGGAGGAUUGUAGGAGAGAGGAAAAGAGUGAAAAGAGAAGAAAAGGGAAAAUGAGAAAGAGAUUGACAAGAAAGGAGAGAGAACCAGAUGGGGUUGGGCUGCUGCCAUGGAGGAUUAGAGGAGAGAGUGAAAAGAAAAGAAAGAGAGAAAAUGAUGGUGAUGGGAGGCUGCCGUGAAAGAUGGGAUGAGAACGAAAAAAUGAAAGAGAAAAUAUGAUGGUAAGGUCACUAUAACAAAAAAGGUCAUUAGUGAAACAUUUCUUUGUGAUGACAAAAAGUCGUCACAAAAUGAGGUUGUUUAGUCACGACUUUGAAGGUUAUCACAAUUGAAUCAAAACAACUAAGUUUUCAGUGACAACUCUUAAUUGUCGUCACAAAACUACUUCGCGCCAUGGGACUUGGAAGGCGCAAGUUUUGCGAUAGUGACAACUUGAUAAAAGUUGUCAGUAAUUCUAUCUCUUUCUUUGACAACUUUUCAUUGUUGUCACUAUUUAUAUUUAUUGACGACCAUUUUUUGUCAGUAAAACUAUAGCGUAGUUAAUGACAACAUAGUAUCAUCACUAACUUGAACAUCUCCAAUGCAUUUAUUUAAUUGUGAGCCUCAAUAUUAAUUUAAUUUUUUUUAAAAUUUGAUGAUUUAUUAAACUAGUCAUAGUUACUCAAAUAAUAAUAAGUUUUUAACUGAAAAAAAUUAAUAAAAGUUUCUAGUUAGAACAACUAUAUAAAUUAUUACAACUUGAGAAAGAGUACAUUUACCAGUUCUUUGAAUUUAGCAAAAAAAUUUCAUCUAUUAUAAUUUUUUAAUAAAUAUGUUAAGCAGUAGUGAGUACAAAUACAUUAGUAAAUUUAAAUAAAAAUUGAAGCUAAAAAUUGACUUGGAUUGUCUUGAUUGAGUAGUACCAGAAAUUUGUUCAAACUAAAAAUGAAAAAAAGUGGCACAUGUACUAUAUAAGGAACCACUCUUACUCCCCACAUCCAGAUGUCUUCAGUACUCUUCACACUCUCAAUCCUUCAGUCAACUUCUUUAUUCUCAACCCCAUUUAUUCAUUUUCCAAAACCCUAGCAGCAAUGGAGGCGGGCAGGCAGCCAAGAGAAUACAGAACAUUGGUGACAGAAAAGGAAACGGGGCCUCACGAAUUCCAUUUCAGACCAAUUCACGGCUACAAUUAAAAGCAUCAGAAAGAGAAAAUGACACUAUCAUUUCUGCAGAACCGGUUGCAAUGUGAUGUGGGUAAAACAUUGGAAUAGAAAACAUAGAGACCCAACCCCAGGAAGAUGAAUGGAUCCCCUCAAACCCCUUAUCUCCUCCUCCCAUUUGCCAUCCAGGACAAGGAGGGCAUCCCCCCAAACCAGUAGUGCCUCAUCUUCACCGACAAGUAGCUGGAGGAUGUUGCACCCUAGCCGACUACAACAUCCAAAAGGAGUCCACCCUCCACCUUAUCCUCCGCCUCUGUGGUGGCACCAAGAAACGCAAGAAGAAGACCUACACCAAGCCCAAGAAGAUCAAGCACAAGAAGAAGAAGGUCAAGCUUGCCGUCCUCCAGUUCUACAAGGUCAAUGCUUAGCUAGGUCCUCUUAUGUCUCUACUUGUUUCCCUAAUUUUUCCCAAUUAAUUUGCCUAAAUUUUUCCCCAAGUAUAUUUUUGCAAAAUUUUUUGGUGGCUAGUUUGAGUCGUGGAUUUAAUCAUCUUUUUCUGCAAAAUUUGCCCUAAUUUUUUUUUUCACAAAAUUUUUUUGGUAAGGGAAUUCAAGGUAGGGGAUGAGGUAUUCAGAGACAUUCACGAGCAUGCUUUGUACCCAAAGGGAUGUGUGUCACUGGCGGAGUACAAUACAGUGGAGGAGAAGGUACUAGCUUCGAAGCUCAAGAAUUUGAGUUUUGCCGAGGCAGCUAACUUCCUGUUGCCGUUCAAAUAGCAUACGGGGGAACUUGAAAGCACUGGGCUUUCAGCUGGUAAAUCACUUCUUGUUCUGGGUGGUGCUAGUGGAGUUGGAUCUUUUAUCAUUCAGGUAAAAAUUUUGGCCUUUCUUUUUUCUUCGUUCAGCUUUAUCAUUUUCCUUGAAUAAUUUUGGGUUUCUUCAUUGUCUAGGUCUAUGCAACUGCUACUGCCUUUCUUGUAGUUUUUUUGGAGAGGAAGGGAAAUUUCCUGAUGCAGUGUAGUGGAGGUAGCUUUUUUUUUUUUUUUUACCAGUCAUUUAUAUCUAUUUUUAUUGUCUCUCUGCUAUAAGUUUUUAGUAUUCCAUUUUGAUGGACGAACUUUUUUUUAAACUGUAAAAGGAUUGGAAAUAAUUCAGAUAGGUUGUCUCCAAUUGAGUCAAAAAGUGCAUUGGUUGGGAAUGAGCCAAAAAAUGAAGGGUUAUUAUUUGCUACAUCCGCCUCACAUAGCAAGCUGCUGAGGGUUUGAACUGAUACUGUUAAGCUUUUUUUCUUGCAAAACCUUUUCUCUAAGCUAACAGUAUUGAUUGCAGUUGUACCAUAUGUUUCCUAUUGUAAUGCAAAAAUACAUAAGGAGUUAUCCAAAUGAGUAAAAGCUUUUUUUAGUGAUAGCAUCUGGAUGUAUCUCUCUCUGAAACUAAUCAAUUCCUAUAUCAAUAGAUAGUCUUUUGCCACCAUUCAUGUGUUUUUGCACAUUUUGCCACCAUUAAUCUGUUGUUCUGUUUUGGACAUAAUUUACUCUCUUCAUUUAUUUUCAGAACUAGUGAAAUAUGCUAUAUUUAUUGAUUUAUUCUUAUUCAGAAAAUUGUAGGUUUUAAAAUCCUUCUGUUGUAUGUCUUGAUCCCACAAAAAAAGUUGCAAGGGAAGGGGUUGGUUGCUGCCAAUCCUAUUGCUAUGUUGUUAUGCCAAGAUUGGCUAACGGUUAGUUGAUGAGUUAAAGAAAUGGGGAGGCAGAAUGUGGGUUGAAUAACAGACUAAAAACUAGUAGUAGUGUCACUUUGAAGGGUAUGAUUAAUGUAUGAAUCUUAAACCUGGACCUAGCAACUGGUAUACCAAAUUUUUUGGUUUAUUGUGGUUGAAAGAUUGGAUGCCCCUAGUAGUGGUGGUUAACUAUCUGAUACUUUCUCCAUCAAAAUAUGUUUUUCAUUUUUUUAAAUAUCUUUUUAUUUUUUUGAGCUACAUUGCUCUAUCAAUGUGUGUGUGCGUGAAACUGCUAGAGAGAGCUUGCUGAAGCUGAGACAGAACAAGAACAUUUGAAUCAUUUAGAUGACUGAUUAAAAAGUUGCUCCUGCAUUCUUUGAAAUAAAAUAUCCAUUUACAACACGAAUUUUGGUCAUAAGUUUGUUCAGUAAGAUUUUGUAAUGUUUUUUGUCCUGUAACUUGCUGAGAUAGGUUGCUUAAAUACCAUGAAUCUAUGAAGAUGGCACUUAAAAUGUUUUAUCUGGUUGUCUUAUCCAGGGUGUGAAGAAUGAGGAAGAAGAAUUUGGGCUGAUUUUCAUUUUGAGUUUGAAUGAGAAACUUUGUUUUCAUAUUUUGUCUAUGUUACUUUAAGUAUCCAAAAAUGAGUGUGAGAAUUACAUACUUGUUAUCAUGUCUCUUCCAAAGUUCUAAGUUUUGUCCGUCAAGUAUGUUAGCCAACAGAACUUUUUUUUUUCAGAUUCAAUAUUAAAUGUAUGUCUCAAAGAAAAGUUACUUAGAUAUUCCUAUCAAUUGACUUUCUUCUUGAUUAAUGUGCACGUUAGAUUGAGCAGGCUUCUGAUCUAACGCAAUGCUUUGAAAACUAGCCUUCAAAUCAGUGAACCUAAAAUAACCAAUAUUUUUAACUUUAAACUUUCAUUUACUUUGGUGCAAAUCUGUCAAUUCUGUCUUUUUUCUAUUAAUAAUGGUUCGUUUGUGAUUUGUUGUUCUGGAAUUAGAUAGCUUCAAAUAUUUUGCAAGAGUUGAUCAACAUUCAUAAUGAUGCAAAAGUCAUAUAAGCAAUCCAAGAUUAGGUCGGAGAUGAUAAGGCUAUCUUUAUUGAGCGAACAGUAGUAAAAUCCAUUUGUUUAUUUUUUUCCCUUAAUUUCCAAUAGUUUAAAGCACCCUAGUAAAAAUCAGAUGUAUUGGUCAGUUCCAAAGAAUUAGUGAUAAUUAUUGAGGAUCAAUAAACAACAAGUGGUAGCAGUACUGUGCUAAGCCAUCCUUGGCAGAGACAAAGAAAUGUUUAUAACUUUGUAUGAAUCAAAAUUUCAUAUAGUAGCAGGUUAGGUUUGGCUUAGUAGCAGUUUUAGGUUUGGCUUUUGAAUUACUAGAUAAAUUGAAAAGCAAUUCUGAAGGUUAACCUUUGAUUAGAAUCUUUGGUUGCUAUCUUGUUGAUAGCACUAAAGCUUCCAUCAAUUUUGAUGUUUGAGAGGGUGCCAUGGUCAACAAUAAUGUUAGGUUUGUUCUCUUUGAUAUUUACUUGAAAAAAGUUUGCAAAACUUUAGGAAGUUAAUGAAUUUACACGGUUGGAUUAGUACAAUCACAAUUUUAUAUCUAUACCUAGUUGUUUGUCAGAAGUUCUAAGUGUUUUAUCUCUUACUUUGCUCUUAUUUAGUCACUAUCUAGAUGAUACUUAAAAGAAAUGAUUUAGCUUAUUUUCUUGCAAAUUCUUAAGCUAACUUUCUUGUUUCAAGUUUUUCUUAUCACCCACUAAUAAUUGAAGUACUUCACUGCAGAUAUGUUGCUCAUUAUAGACUUCUGGAAGAUCAGCAGCAAGAGUUGUUAAUUGACUCAAGAACUAUAGAGAAAAUCUUAUGCUCAAGAAAUGUUUCGACAACACAUUUUUUUGGGGACUUGGAUUUGUUUUGUAAAAUUGCCUUGACUUAUAUGUGAAAUUUAGGCUAAAUACCACUUAUCAAACUAUUUGUAUGGUGUUAUUGAACUUCAUUAUGAUAUUCGAAUGCUUAAAAUGAUAUUUUAGCAUUUCACAAUGUAAUGGAUGCCUUCAUUUGUUAAUUGUAAAGCAUUGUCUUUUUUUCAUUUUUAAGAUAUAAUUUAUCAGGAAAAUCAUCAACUUUCAUGGUGGUAAAGUGUUGUCACUGAAUUAGAUUUCUCCAUUGACAACCACCUAUUGUUAUGGAAUUGAAAACUGUUUAGUGACAACAGAAGUUGUCAGUAAUUAGUUUAUACUAGUUGACACUACGGAUUUGUUUUAGUGACGACAUUGCUUUGUACAUCAUUGACAAGAUACUAUGUCAUAACUAAAAUUACAACAAUUACUGACGACACUAGUUGUUGCAAAAUAGUACCAUUCACUGACAACUUUUAAGGUUGUCACUGUAUAUAUUUACCGACGGGCCUUCAGUGACGACUCUGUGACGACUAGAAAGUUGUCAAUAAAACUUAUCAGUGACGACUUUUUUUUUUUUUUUUGUGAUGAAAAUGGCUUGUCACUAAAAACCAAUUUUCUUGUAGUGGGUGUUGCCAUGAAAAUUGUGCCAACGUCAUAUAAUGAUGAAGACAAUAUGUUUUCUUUUCUUUUUUGAAGUUUUCGAGUCGAAUUGAGUUAAAUUUAGGAAUCCACCAAAACCCUCCAAUUUAUACGGGAUUGAGAACCACCAAAUUUUAAUGAUUUAUUGCAAGAUUUUGAAUCCAAUACAUGUAACCCAAACAACAAGAAUUGGAAUUAUUUCAGUCCUUGAUUCCAAUCCUCUUUUACCAAACGGCACCUAAGUUUACUUAACACUAGUUCCCAGCAAAAGUUCAUUGUGUUAGGGUAGUUAGGCGUUGUUCUCUAAUGAUUUUCAAGACUUGAUUCUAGAUUUUAAUUUUGGAAAAGCUAUUUUAUUGCGUUCUCAACUGUGUUUUCAUAUGUUGAUUAGUUACUAUCAAGUAUCAAUCAAGCCAUUUAGUCAAAUGCAAAGACCAGUAUAGCAACAAAAAUACCAAAUGGUUUUAAUGAUCUUUUUUAUGGCUGGCUAAUCAAUCGAUACCAAUGGGGUUUAAAAAUCAAUAAAUGUUUGAUUGUCUUUGACACUAUGUUCUUGGAUGCACAUUCAUGAUUGGAAUUCAGUACUUAGGAUGUAGAGUGAAGUCUUUAAGGUCUUUAAUCUGCUAAUUUUAAUGAUGAUAAAUAAGUCAUGAGAUUGUUUUAGAGCGUAAGAGUGAAGACGACGUUAAGGUCUUUAUUCUUAAUUUUGAUGAUUAACAAACAAAUUAUGAGAUUGUCUAACAUGUCAACUCAGAACGUGAUAGAUGAAAGAUUUGUCUAACAGAUCUGGAAACAGGAAAAAGGCGCACCAAAGAAAAGAAAAGGAUUGAAUGUGAAGCUUCAUUCUUGCUAGCAAAAAUGGAUUAAAAUUGAAGUUAGUAGAAAGCGCAGGUAAAGUGACAAAACGUUCAUAAGUUUACUGAAUCUUAGAAAAGGUGAUUUUUAUGGAUUAUAUAUGUAGCAGAAAAGCACCUCAAAUUUGGCGAACUAAUUUUCAAUUAAUUGUACUCAAUUUAUACAUCUUUAUUCUUCCAAAAUUGGUCUUCAUUUAAGUCUUAACAAGUCUUCAUCCGUUGAUUAAAGCUAUUAGGAGCUGUAGUUUGUAUAUUCAUACCGUUGAGGGUGCUACAGAGCUUUUAUUUGCAAGUAUAGGCUUGAAGAUUGCUGCUAUCAUUGUUAAUAAUCAACCUUGUAUUCUAAUGAAGACUAUGGAAAAAUUUCUGAAAGGAGAUUACAAAGUAUACUCUCUCUCUCUCUCUCUAUAUAUAUAUGUAUAUGUAUAUCACAAGCAAAUAAAGAAUGAUUAACUACAAAGUCUCAGCUCUUGAAAAUUCGAGCUAUUACAGGAAAAUCAAACCGUGUGAAGAAAAAAAUUGGAAAGCCAUCUAGUUCACUAAGGAUAUAUACAAAUGUGUUGAAUUCAAGAAAGUUUAUCGUGCUUUACCGAACAUGAACAAACUGUCCAGGCAGAACUUGUCUGAUCGAACCAGAAGAGCUGGUUUCGCCGAAUUUAUGCAGGAUUUUGAUAAGGGAUCGAGCUUUCUUGCCUGCAGGACUUGUUCCUUCGGUCACAAGUGAAUAAAGAGCAGGCAUGAGUGAUUGAUCUUUUGCUAAAACUGAGAUAACAUCUGCUCCACAAUUUAGGCACAAAGAGUGCAGAAUUGAAAGACAGUACUCCUUUCCUGCUCGAGAUGUUGUUGAAUGCAAUAGCCCCGAAACUGUAGGUAAGGCAGAAGAUUCAAGAAUCUUGGAUGAGCCAUUAACACUGUCGGCCAAUGUUGCGAGGACUGCUAAUGCAUCUGUUGUAAGCUCUACUUUUUCUGAAAUAGCUAAAAGAUUGACCAGUGCUGGAAUUGUCCCUGCUGCAAUCACCCUCUGAUGAUUUCUGUGGGACAAAAGCAGCCCGAAAAUUGCAACCACGGCAUUCUUUUUCCCACAAGUAGCACCAUCUUUGAUGAGCUCUACCAAAGCUGGAAUUGCAUCAGGUGUUUCUCCAAUCAGUUUACGAUAUUCAUGAACUGAGGCUAGGUAGAAAAGUGUUGCAGCUGCCGUUUGUCGAGCUUCCAUUUUGAGUCCGUUUCUGAGCACCCUAAGAAUCAAUUUCAAGCCCCAAUUCUCCAUGAUUUCUUUCAUACCACUAGAAUGCUUUGACAGCUUCAACAAAGCAGACAUUGCAUUCGCUUGCAUAGAUGGAUUCUUAGACUUGAGUAGUCCUAAAAGUGGGGGAACAGUUCCAGCUUCAAUCAUGCAAGACCUGUUGAAAAUGUUUGAUUUUGCCAGCAAACGAAUCUCGUAGGCAGCCUUGUUCUUUUGAUCAACAGUCCCAAAACAUAGCCGGCAAGCGAGGAAAUGAGCAAGGAAUCUAAUGGCUUCUGCGGCAGCAGCACUUCCUGGUACGAUCGUCCUCGAUACAUCGCGAUUUUUCUUCCUUGAUUUAGCCAAAGAAAUCCCAUUAUCAGCACAAAACUGCUGGAUAAGUUUCAGCAAAGCCGAAUUUGGCACCAAUUCUGCGCUUGUCAGCUUCUCCCCCGUUUUGGGACAAAUGAGAUUCCCUGAUCCCAACCAUUUCUGUAUCGAAAUUCGAUCAUACGUCUGCCCAGUUGACACAGUUACUGGAUCAGUCAUCAGCUCCAAUGAUAUGGGACACCUGAAGUCCUCAGGAUUCAAACAAGUCAGAGUUUCCAAGCUAUGUCUGCCAUCAUCUGAUUGAUCAGAAUUUCCAUAAUCAUAAUCCUCAUACAAAACUCCCCUGGAAUAACACAGCAGCCCAACUAAACUGCUCAAUAACGGCAACUCUCUCGCAUUUCCAUCAUUUAAUUCCAAUCUGAUCUCUUCCUCUAAAAAUUUAAUCUCCUUUUGACAAUCAUUCCAACUCCUGAUAUCAAGAAAAUCAAGAACUUUCUUGAUAACACACCUCUCAGGCUCAAAUCGGUUCUCAAAUUGAUUCGAUAUCACAAUAACCCUCUUCAGUUCUUCCUCAUCCUCAAUACCAAUCUCCACUUUUGCCUUCUGUGAUUGCUUAGCUACUAAUUCCACGAGCUCCUUAACUUCACGUGACAAAUCAAUAGAUUUCAGUGGAAGUACAUCAAGAGCAGUAGCCAUUGCUCUUACCAAAACCCGAAAUUGAGUCGUCAUAAAAUGCGAUUUCAUCAGUAUCCACAAUCUAGCUCCUUCUCUCGUGCAAUCCUCCAACAAAAACUCAAUUUUCUGAAACGUAAGAUGAAGUUCAGAAAAGCAGAGGACAAAGGAGCUGGACAAGCUAGGAACAUGUUCUCGAAUUUCCUCGAAAAACAUCAAAAGAAUCCCAAUUUGGCGAAUCACUUCGCGGGCAUUUUUCCUUUGGCUUGGGAUAUAUCUGGAUCGGAAACUACAUAUCCUACCAGAAAGAUUUAUUAGCGACUCCAGAAGUAUCCCUGGAGAUAUCCCUUCACAUGGAUGGACAGCCGGAAAUGUCAGAAUCCGGCGAUCACUCCGAUCAAACCGUUGAAUCAUUGGAAAUUUACAAACAACAAAUUUGUUUGUAUGAUCAAUGAAUUUUGUGUUGUUUGUUGUGUUAGUUGAAAUUUUAAGUAUGGUCUGUUUUAGGAAGGUAAAUAUAGAUUUUUGUGGGAAGUUUCGGUUGGUGUAUACAUAUUCAGAAGGGUUUGAAUGAUUUGAUUUUUAAUAGACACGUGGCAUUAGAAAAUGGGUCUUUUGACUUUUAAAAUUUCUGCGUGGACUUUUUGUGGGACCAUAGUGAGGUGACCUUGGCAGUGAGGUGUACCAUACACGUGGCAUGGAUGCGUGUGCACUAGGGAUUGGUGGAUAGUGAUUUAUUACAAAGGCUAUAUUACAGAAUAUAAAAAUUUUAUGUGAAUAACAUUUUCAUUUUUUUCCGAUAAAUAAUAGCAUUCCUAUAUUUGGCCACUAAAUAAAACAAAAAAAAACUUCCUAUUUGCAACAGCGAUAAUCCACAUAAAUGCGUGCAAAUAGACACAUGUAACUGGUACUAGUAUAUUGCGCAGCAAGCAAAUCUACACGAGCUCAUUUGAGAUGAAAAUGAGUAAAAAGUAUUUUUGUGUAAAGAUAUGGUAGGUUUAUAUGCAUGUAUAUGAUGGGUUUGUUUGGAUUGUGUUUUAUUUGGAAUAUUUUUACUGUAGCACUUUUUGUGAUGUGAUGUAUGUGAGAUAAAAAGAUAAUUGAGAAGAUAAAAAGGUGUAUUGGAAAUUGUAAUGAUGAUGUAAGCAGAUAAAAUUGGGGAAAUAAAACACAAUCCAAACAAACCCGAUGAUUUUAUAAGGUGACAAUCACGUUUGACUUACAUCAAGUUAUUUCCAAGAAAUUAGAUAUAAAACGCGUCUAUACUUUUACACAAUCACUUGUCACACAUAUGAAGUCAUUUUAAAGAAAUUUGAUAUUGUAGAAACCAUUUAUUUAACAAAUCAUUUCAUACUUCUAAUCUCUCUAACUUUUACUUUCUAAGCUUCUUACUUCAUAAUACCGUGAGGGGGCGAUAUUUAGGUGUAUUAACACGUAAUUGAUCAAUCAAUUUAUUACUUUUUACGCACGUCUUUAUAAAAAUCAGAGCAUACAUGGAAUAAAAAAUUAAAGAGAAUAAGAAAUUUUAUCGAAAUUUACUAUAGAGGUCUCUUACAGAAAUUCUUACAGAUCAUCCACCAUACGUCAUUUAUAUAAUUUCUUAUAAAUCGCCCACCAACACAGUUCUCACGUCGAUAGCAAAAUUCGAACACAUGAUUUUUUUUAUGAGAAAAUAAGCCGUUGAUGCCAAUUAAAUUUAACUUGUGUUGCCAUUGAAUCGAAGGUGGCUGAUUACUGUGGAUUUUACACGUAGGAAGUGGGCGUGUUACACGGUUUACAUUUUGUGCAGCUAACCUGGAGAGUACUGAUAGGCGGAGGGCAGUUUUUUCGUUCUUUUUUUUUAAUAUUUGAUGUUUGGAUAAAUGAUUGGACUGAGCCAAGGUCCCUUGAGGUCAAUCUCAUGUGGGUCCAAGUUUUGGCCGACACUGGGGGCACGUGGAUGUAUCAGGACACCGUGACUUGCAGCGUCAGGCGGGGGGAAAGUCCGCUUAAAUUCAUGAAGGAGUGCAGCCGACAAGGAAUAGAUUAUGGAUGUUCGAAGGCAAAAAGCUAUGGCCUUUGCUUCAUGCAGCGGAGGAGAAAAGUCAUUUUCGCACCAUGAUCUUCCGGCAGAAGGUAUAUCCCAUCCCGGAUCCCGUUGGGAUACUACGCUAUUGUUGGAACAAAUUGUACGGUGCAACCGACGGUGUAAAUGUAUUUAACUUGAAUUUAAACGCAGGAGAUCGAUUGCAAGGCAUUGUUUAGUGCACACACUAUACGUGCAUGUAUGGAUAGCGAUUUUAGAUGCAACGGAUCUUCUGUUUUAUAUUCUGUGUCAUUUUUUAUUAUAUUGUUAUUUUUCCUACAUAAACAUCAUGUUUUAGUUCUUUUUUGUUUUCUUAAAAUUCAAUAACUAUUAAUUGAGUAAAAAAUAAAUACAGUAGCUUAAAAAAAGCAAUAUAUAAUAGAAAAUUAAAAAAAUAGCAGAAAAUUCAUAAAAAAUCUCAUUUUUUAUGCAUUUUGACUUUUUUGAAUUUGUUAAAUUUUGUGUAUUACUCAAUUAAUAGUUAUUGAAUUUUAAGGAAACAAAAAAGAACUAAAACAUGAUAUUUAUGUAGGAGAAAUAGCAAUAUAAUAAAAAGUGGGACAGAGAGUGGCACAGAAUGUAAGACAAAAGAUCCGUUGCAAAUUUUAGAUGUCUCGUGUCUGAAUAUCCCUAACAGGGGUAGUAAGUGGAUUUGAGAGGAGUCGAGGUUUAGUUUACUUGAGCCAAAAACAAUCUUUAACUUAUCAGGGUCAAUUUCAAUUUAGCAUAUAAUUUAAAUAUUGAGUUCGAACUCGAGUUUGAAUUCGAACAUGACUAAUCUCAAAUAAAAUCAGAUAUCUAUAGUCUUUCUUUGAAUGGAUAAAAUAAACAUUUUUAUCAUAAUAAAUGUUAUAAGUUAUGUAAAUAUUAUGCAUAUUUUUUAGGCUGAGUAAAACUUGAAGAGUAAUCUUUGUACUCCAUCUUGGCUUGAGAGUUUAAUAAAACUGCUCGAGCUAGACUUGAAAUUAGUCAAUAUUGAGUUGAGUCGAACUGUUGACCAUGCUCAUGAGUUGACUCGAUUCACACAUGCAAUUUUUUUGAGUGCAGGAUUGUGAGUUAAAUUACAAUGAUAACAAUUUAAAUUUCUUAAUGUGAAAUUUUUUUUCAUUUAUUUCAGUCUAGCUCUAGAAAAUCCCAUGUUGCAAUUUUUAGUUUCUAGGACACUAACAACUAGUUAGGGAGAUGAGAUUUGAGUAGAAAAGCAAAGAAAAGGAAGAGAAAUCCAGAUCUUUCUCAUGUUUGGGACUUCUAGAUAGUGUUUGUUUGUCAGUAAAAGAGUAGGAAAGUGAAAGAAAAUAACUUUUCUGCAAGUUUUGAAUGUUCGUUUGUUAGGAAACUUAUGAAACCCAGCACAUAAAAUUUGUCUGUAACCACUUAUUGUGCUAUAGAAUUUUUCCUACAGAAAUCAAUAGGAAAGGUGAGUUGCGGAAAAGUUUCAACUAGUUAGAUUUUUUUACAACUCCUUUCUUUCUAAACUAUUUUCUCCAUUCUAAACUUCUAAAUAAAUUAGAAAAACUUAGAAUUCACAAUUCAAAAAACUGGCUUGUGGUUAGAUAUAUUUUAUUCUUAAUUUAACAAUUAAUGGAUUCGUAGUUUUUUGGAUUUACAUGACAUUAGUAUUUUUUUUCUUUUACAUUUUAUGCUUCUUUUUUGUGACUAUAUAUUUUGUGAACUCUUAACCUAGAAGGGAUUCUAAAGUCCCAUUUGCUAAUCAAAUUCAAUCCUUAAAUUUAAUAAAUUCAGACGUUAUAACAAAAAAUAGAAUGCUUAAUUAAUUAAGUAGUUCUGAAUUGUUUAACCGAAAUUUACUCAAAACAAUAAGUGAUAAGCUCUCCCACCUCUAUAAUUGAUGACGUCUAUACAUGAAUGUAAUCAUUUCAGUUUUUUGUAUGGAUGAACCUUUUAUGGGAUUGAAAAGUCCAUUUUUUGUUAUUAUUAAGAGUAUGAAUUCUCUAAUCAUCUCUCUUGUCUUUUCUUAAAUAGAAUUCUUUAAUCACACUUCUUGUAUCAAUGAACCUUAUGACUGAACCUUCUAUGGGACUACAUUUAAUUAUAAACUAUAACAACACUCGGAUUUAUGAUAAUGUAGAAUGAAUUUCCCGUGAAGGAAUAAUGCAUUUCAUGCCAAAUCCAUAAAGCAACUAAUGUAGCCCUUAUCUAUAUAUGACAUCGUUCUAUGGACCAAAAAAUUUAAGAUUAUUUGAUUAGCUUUGAUUCAAUAUAUUACUAUUAUCCUCCUUGAAGUGUCUGCAAAUUCAUUGGCUUAAUCAACUUCUAUUUUUUCUCUCUUUUUUUUUUAAAGAAAAUGUUAGUAAUUAAUUUUUUUAAUAUAAAAAAUGAUUGUUCAAAAUACCGAGACCUUUACCUUUCUUGCAAAUGCUUAGGUAAACUUAAUCUUGCAGACCAUUGCUUUAAGUAAUUGUACAUAUGUGUAUUAUUAUUUGUACCUUAUGCAGGAAUGCAAGUUUCUAAAGCAUGUUGAUUUGCAAACUGGUGCACCUAAUUACUUUUCGUACAUCUACUAGCUAUGAAGCAAGAUUUACAGGUCUUUAAAUCAAUUGUCGGUUUAAGCUUCUAUAGUUGUGGCAUGAUAAAAAUAACAUCCCAAUUCGUGAGCUAUUGCAACAAGUUUCUUACGUACAUAUUUCACGUUAGCACUCUAAUUUAUGACUUUACUUGACAACAAAUUUUUAUGCAGAUGUCAAGCUUAUGUUUAAGAUAUUCAUCCGCCUACCACAAGGACGGAACUAGUGGGGGGACGCGGAAGGACCACCGCCCCAUAAGUUUUAGAUAUUUAUAUUUUUUUCCUUAAAAUUUUAAAAAUUUUUAUGUGUUUUAUACUAUUUGCCCCCAAAAAUUUUUAAAAAAAGUCCCAUAUUGAUUCAAAAGUUUAUAUGUACAUGCAUUUCAUCCCUGAAUUAAAAUUUCUGAUUCCAUCUAGGGAUGCAUUCAAAUCGAAUCAGGUUUAAGUAGUGCACUACUCGAACUUGAUUCGAGAUAAAAUAAUUGAGUUCCAACUAGAACUCGAAUUCGUCGAACUUUUAAAAGUCAAGUUCAAACUAGAACUCGACUUCAGUUUACCUUACUCAAGUUUUAACUUGAUCUCAAGUUUAAUUAAAUCUAAUCGAAUCAAAUCAAGUUCAAUCGAGCUUAUCCAAGUGUAAUCGAGUUCAAUCGAACUUAUUCGAGUCUAAUCAAGCUCACGUAGUAAAAAUUAAUAUUUUACAUAUAAUUUUAAAUAAAGGACAUUAUUGACAUCUCAUAAUAAUAAAUAUAAAAAAUUAAAAAUAUAUAUUAUAAAAAGCUCGAUUAGACUCAUCGAGAUUUUGAAUACAAAAUAUUGGAACUCAAACCCGACGACUUAUGAGCUCAAAUGAGUGGCUCGAACUCGAGGUUGAACUUGAUCAAAUCUAGCUCGAUUUAAGUUAUUGAGUCGAGUUAUUUGGUUUAGCAUCAUCUCUAGUUCCAUCCCGAGCCUAGCAUGUCACUGUUUCCUCUAGAAAAUUCUUUUUUCUAGAGAAUUCCAUUCAUAAUGCUGACACUCCCAAGGCUUGUCCUCGUUUAAUUUGAUAGAUACUGAUGACCAUUGGAAAAUCAUAGGCGUGAAAAAGGUCCCAUUCUAUGGUGCCAUUUUUCCUGUUUAAAGUUUAACAUUUUCCGUGGUGGACCAAUAAGCAUUAAUCAGUUGGACUUGAUUGGUUUCUCUUAUUGAUUACGAGAUCUACGCUUCAAACACCACCACAAAAAACAUAUAGGGAAACGCUUUAAAAUUUUAGGAGUGUUAAUAUAGCAGCUGUUGAGUGGGCACUUAUUAAUAUUAAUUCUGGUGUUAGUUUUUUAAUAAGGUGAAAUAAAUCAAAGUUAGUAUCUACAUGUUAGAGAAAUAAUAAAUGUGAACAUGUCAAUGCAAUUAAGCAUGUUAAUAGAUCGGGUCUUAUCCAAAUUUAACAUAGACCCAAUAUACUUGAGUGGGUUUGGAUUUAAUUUUUCAAAUCCAGACUCUAUCCAAACCUAGACCUUGUGAGAGAGUUGUGGGUCUAGGUAGGAUAUAGUUUUUUAGAAUCCACACUCAAAUUUAGAUCUAUACCAAGUCAUGUCUAGAUUUAGACCCAUAUCAAGUCAUACGGAUUUAGACCCAUACCGAGAUUUCGUUUCAUUAGAAAUCUUGCAAACUAUUUCUUUUGCCCUACCAUCUCUUGUAUUGUCUUUUCUAUUUUCGGCUAUUACAAUUGCAUUAGAAUUUACAUUUAAUGUUGGUGGUAGAAUAAUUGAUGUCCAGAUGUGAUUGAAGUAUGAUAAUUGGAUUGAAUCAAAGAAAAAAGAUGAGUAAGUAUUUAUAAAUCUUCUUAUUCUAUUAUUUAUUUGUUAUCGGUCCUUAAUCAAAUGAUUUUUAUCUCAUUCACUAUUGUAGCGUUGGAUUGCAAGAGAUCUAUCUACAUCGGGGCUUAAGUAAGAUAAAGAGGAACAAAAUUAUAUAUAUAUAUAUUUAAUAAGGCUAAAUAUUUAUAUAUGUUAUAUUGAUUUCUAUUUUUCAGACUAAUUCUAGUUGUUAUUAUAAUUCAUACAAACUUUUCAGGAAAAAGAGAAAAAAUAAAGACAAACAAAUAAAAGAUUGAACUUGGAUGCAGUUGAAAUUCUGAAAAUAUAGAGAAAGUAGUCGAUGAUAGUUCUUUCUUUGAGUUCAUAAAAUUACAUUCAACUUGUUGAAUAUUAAUUUCAUUAUUUGAAAACAAAAAUUGGACGGUAUUUAUAUUAUUUAUUAACUCUAUAUACUUUUAAUAUAUUUUUAUUUUAGCCCAAAUCCAUAAGGUCUAGAUCUAAACUUAUGAUGUGUUUGAUAAAACUAAAAUCUAAAAUCUGAAAUCUGAAAUCUGAAAUCUGAAAUUUGAAAUCUAAAUUUAUUAAGCCAUUAAAUUCUUAAAUAUCAAAUUUAAUACAUUUGAGUGUAUAUCACAUUCAGUAAUAAGUAAAUCUCUUAUCACUUAAUUUUGGAGCAAGUUUUAUCUAGGAAAUUCAAUAAUACUUAAUUAAUUCAGAUGUUUAAUUUUUGGUAAUCAAAUGCAUCUGAAUAGAUGAAUCUAUUAAGUUUAAGUGCUAAAUUGAAUUACUAAACAGGACCUUACUUUUUCAUACCCAUAAGGGUUUGGGUUCGAGUAUACAUAUGUGUGUGUAUUGGAAAGUGUAAAUGAGAGGACUUGAAUUCAAACUCCUAUAAAUAAAAGGUAUCGAGUUCGAAUCAUUUCAUUUACACUAAAAAAUAAUACGUGUGUAUGUGAAACAAGAUACUCAGCUUGAAUAAUAAUUCGAGAGAGCUGUCUCAUCAAUAAGAUUCGUCAUUAUUCCGAACAUGAUUUGAUUGGAGACAUGGGCAUCCAGACUUGCCAUCGCUAGUAUCCUGAGAAUUUUUCUCAACUGAAUAUGUACCGACCAUCCUCUAACGUUUCCGGAAAAAAAAAAAAAAAAAAAUGUGCCGACCACAUAUGAAAGCUGAAAAGCCACUCGCAUCCAAGUUGUCAAUCCACCUGUUUAUUGAUCCGAACUUAUAACGUGUACGUACAUAUACCAUUGAUAUUUUUCCACUUUAAGGGACACAAUUGAUCUCUGGCCCACCCCGGAGGAUUAAUUAAAAUAGUUUUUACUCUAUUAUUGAAGAAUACUAAACAGAAAGGAUUCUAUAAGCUGUAAUGCCGUUCUCAUGUGAAAAUUUGAGAUAUGAACUGGGCUCAUAAAAGAAUAAACAUUUGUACAGAAUGCAUGAAAAGUGUACGUUCCAGAGUAGUAUGAUCUGAAAUUAUACACAUGCGAUUGAUAGUUGAGUAUAACUGUCAAUUAAUAACACAAGUUAUUAUAUACAUACGCUGUAACGAUAAUAUUUUUAUAAUCUAAUUUAUCCAUUUUUAAAGGGAGGGAAGCUUAAAGAAGCUUCGCCGUUAUUAUACAUUACCUCUGUAUGUAUUUGUGUAUUGCGUAGUACAAUUGAGACUUGGCAGUUGCAGAACCCUAAAUCGGAUUAUUUGAUAUGAAAGAUGAAAUUUCAUGCUGACAAAGAAGGGAUGACAAUGAACACAGAAAUAGUAGGGUAAUUGCUUGAGAUGGACCAAUAAUGUAUCCACAUGUAGCAUGAACUAAUUUGUCUCUCCAUUAGUAGUCCAUUAUCUAUUGUCUAAUCAAAACCUAUUCAUACCAUUAUCAUUGUUUACUUGUCUUAAACACCAAGAGUCCUCCUUGAGCAUGCAAUCUCAUUAUUUGAUAGCUCAAACUUAAUGGUCAAAUAAAGGGGCAUGGAGCCAUCAUUAGAGAAUAAUAAUAUAUCUUCUGCAGGGGAUGGAGGACACGUGGAAUGUUGAUUUGAAUUUUUGCACAAUAAAGUAUUUGGAGGGAGAGCUAAACCUAAGAAGGAAAGUGAGAGAUAAGAUGAUGAAGCCAAUUUUGGUCAUAAGCAAAGUUUGCUUUUCAAGUAAUCAUCUCCUAGCUGCCACAUCUUCCAAUGAACACGAAGAAACAAGAUAAACUAAUCAUGUUCUUAGUCCAAAGAUUGACAAAACAAUCCACAUUAGAAUAUUGUUUGAGAACAUACCCACAUGAGCAAGAGUUCAAAGAAUAAGGGGUUUGAUUAAUUUGGAACCUAAUUAAUCAAUGGGUUUGAUUGAUUCCCAUUGAUUAAUUAGGUUUAUUAGGACCCAAGUUCUUAGAAAUAGAAUAUGUUGCCAAAUUCUUGGCAUAACAUCAUCCAACAGUUAUAUGACUCAUGCUUAGAUAGAAUCGAUCUUAAAAAAUUCAAUGAUCCAAAUUGUGCCACACCAUCUCAUCAGAUGGUGUUGUACAAUCUGGACCAUUCAGUUUUCGAAGAUCAGGCCUAGGCCUAUCCAAGUUUUGGCCUAAUUAUGUAUAGCAUAAAACAGGUCUUGCAGUUACCUUAUCUUCUGAUGUUUCUAUCAGCUAAAGUUAGGAAAAUUUUCUGGAACACGCAAUUGUAGUUGGAAAUCCAGUUUAAAUUAGAUUGCUGACCUCCAAAGGCUACGAGCCAAUAGCCAAUCUAAUCCAGUAGCAAAAUGGGAAAGCCCACAAGCCAAUUGACCCAAUUGGCCCGUAGUCCUGCUACCACUUUUUGAAAACUGUUUGGGUCAAUUGACAAUUCUUCCUCUUUAGUUGGUUGAAAAUUUUUGAAUUUUAGAUUCCAUGGUAAUUAUAUAUAAAACAGAUUUCAAAAGGAUUAAUGACAAACUAGCCUAUCAAAAAGUACUAAAAUUUGCAUCUUAAACGUCUAUAUUUCAGAUAUAAUACAAUAUAAACUUUGCAAUUUCAAAGUGCACAUGAUUUUGUAACAUAAGAUGCACGUUUUGCAAGGAAAAAAAAUAAACUUUCAAUUGGGCCAAUAUUUUUUUUUUAAAAUUGUGCAAGAAUAUAUAACACUUGGGGGUAUGUUCAUCCUGAAAUUAUAAUGCGCAUCAAUUUUUGUGGAUGGCAUGUUUGUCUUCUUCAUUUUUAUACACUUGCAAUUGGACAUUUCUCUAAAAUAUUGCUUUAAUAGGACAUUAGUUGUCAAAGUUAUAUUCAAGUUAGGAUUUCUUGGAUUGAUUGUAUUAUAUGGCCGACAAAAAAGGUGUAAGUAGCAGAUUGAUCUAUUUAAACAGUAAAUGGAACAAAAUUGUGACUCACCUAUUCUUUGAGGGUGCAUCUUGUAAUUUACCCAUUCAAGAAUGCAUGUCUCCCAACCAAUAUGGCAUCAGAUUAAGGCUUGCUUUUGUAUAAAUCUAGCAAGGUUUCCAAGAAUCAGAAAACAGUAACAAAAUUUUAUUUUCACACUAAUACUACUACUUGAACAGAAUAUUAUCAUGUUUACCAAUUUAGGAUUGGUUUGGAAUGAGAAAUUUGAUGACUGAUUUGAAAUCUACCCGAAUCGCUCUAGUUAUUUGAAUUGCUUAAGAGGCAUUUCAAUUUGUAAUUAGUUGUUCGGAUUACUUAAUAGGUAUUUGAACUUGUAAUUCACCAAUUAUCUGAAUAUAUUUUAAACACUAGAAUAAUUAGCAAUUUACAAAUUCAAAUACCUCUCAAGUAAUUUAAAUAACUAGAGUGAUUUAAAAGAAUUUCAAAUCAUUUGUCAAAUCCCUCAAUCCAAAAGCAACCUGAUUAAGUUUUAUGCCAUGGUAUUUAAUAUAUUCCGUACUCUAUAGCAAGUCACAGAAUAUAUGAAAAACUGUAUCGGAGCAAGAAAGAAACAAACUUGAGAAGCAUACAUUACAUUCCAUUUCAAGUUCUUCAAGCCAACACUAGGCAUUUAGUCGACUUAUUAAAUAGGAAUUAUCAAACAAAGACCAAAAAAUUUACAACCAAGCUGGAUUCUCCAAUGGAGUAACAACGGCCUUCUCCUGCAAAUGGUUCUUUAGGCUAUAAAUUCCUUUUUCUCUUCCAUGACAGCUCAUCUUAUAGCCACCAUAUGGAAUUGCAGCAUCAAAGAUAUUAUAGCAGUUAAUCCAUACUGUUCCAGCCCUUAAUCCUCGUGAUAAUGUGUUUGCUGUGUUGAUGUUCUUUGCGAAAACUCCUGCUGCCAGACCAUAUUCUGUUGCAUUUGCCCUUCUGAUCACUUCAUCAAGGUCCCUAACAGGACAUGACAUAUAACACUCAUAAACUGAAAUCCUGUCAUAUCUCUUUUGUUGUAUUGCCUUCUCUAAAAGUUUGAAAUAAACAGAAAACUCAGAAAACACUUGGAAUCAUUUGCAUCAAGAUUAGACUUCAGAAAACAAAGAUGUAGUUAUUCAAUAUGCGAGUAUAUGUAGGUAUCAAUUCAUGUAUAGCUGAUUUCUGAAGGCAUUUGGCAACCUAGCUAGAGCAAUCCAGUCUGACCAGUGAUUCACUGGUUUUGUAUAGUGGUUUUCCUUGUACCAGGGGAGGAAAGGCCUGGGAGGCUGUUUCUUUUUCCUCAUAAUGCCAUAGGAUUUGUAUUUAGCUUUAUACAAGAGACCAAAUACAAAUUAUAUGAACAAAGUGCGGGGUUUACAUGAAAUUCGGUGUGAAGUAUCAUAUGACUCACUUGAAUUUUAAGAUUGACCGCACUGGGCCAAAAAUUUCAUCCUUAGCUAUCAGCAUAUCAUCCUGUUUGAACAUAAGAAAUAUCAGUUAUUUUCAUUUAACUUUUGUACGCAUUGUAGGUGAAGAUCAGAGGGACAGAAAUGUAGAAUUACUUUAACAUUGGAGAAAACAUUUGGUUGAACAUAAUAGCCCUUGGAGCCAACUCUUUCACCUCCACACUCAAGGGUAGCAUUACCAUCAAUUCCAGAUCUUACGUACUGAAGAAUCUUCUCAAAUUGUUUAGAAUCGAUCUGCGAUGUUUUAUUAGGCAACAAACUUUUGAGACAGUAAUUUCCAUCUCUAAAAUUUGAAAGCAACAUGGAUAUUGACAACUAAAUAUGACAAACUUUGUCUUUGAGUGUAAUUCGUAGUUUUACGUUCUGCAAGAAAAAUUUCCUUUGUUUUCUGACAAUGCUGGAUAUACUCCUUCACAGAGUCAUGUAUCAUAUUCGAAUGAAUGACAAUUGGUUGCAUUGCAAUGCUCUCAGAUAGACAAUAUCUGUGGCAUGUAGGUUGCAAAAGUAAUCUAGAGCCUUAGUUUAUCUAACCAUUUUGACACAUAAGAGAAAGAGGUCAAAUGUGGAGCAGGUUUACACAGUCUAACACACUACUAGAUGUCAUCUGAGAGCAUGCUUACUUUCACAUUGAACAAGAGAAACAGCAAAGAUUGCAGAAUAACUGAGGGCCUUGUUCAACACCUUUCUUGAAUGGAUCUCCAACUAUACGCCUCAAGGCACUAGCCUUUGCUUUCUCCACAAACUCAUUAUAAACACGUUCAUGAACAAAUGUACGAGAGUCGAGAGCCAGCACAGCAGAUUUGGCCUUACAGGCGGCAAAUAAACUCAAAACACUUCUCAAUCUUCAAUAUCAGCUAUGCAGCUUUAUUAAUUAUUGCUGCACAAAUUCUUACAAGAUUAGUGAAUGUAGGUUUCAAAUGAUUGUAGCUAAUAAUUGUGAUUAUAAAAACUAGUGAGCAUAAGUAUAUUAAGUGAUUUUAAGAAAUUUUUAAAAAAACAUGUCCUUAUUUUUGUGUUGUCUUUUCUACCUAUUAAAAUCCAAUGUUCUAAUAGUAAACUUGUAGAUUAUUUAUUUUAUUAUUUGUUUACCUUGAUAAUUUCAGUGAAUGAUUCAAAUAAUUCUAUAAAAUAUCAACUUAAUCUCAAACUAAAUUGAUAACCUAUUGAAAUGGAAAAAAGGCAACGAACCUAAUUUAAAGGGACAUCCCUUAUAUUUUAAAGGGACACUUGAUUGAGAAUUUAGUUAUCAAUACAAGAGAAAAAAUGAUAAAACUCAUUAUUAAUUAAUUAGUCAUAAUGCAAAGCAAUAAAUACAUAUAUCAUCAAGGAGGUCUUGGCUUAAUGACUAAGGUUGAGACCUUAAAAAUUAGAGCUCUUAGGCUCUAAUUCCCUAACCCCCUCCUUGCUUUUUAAGUCCUACCCCUUCCCUAUUAGAAAAAAAAAGAAGAAGAAGUUUGAGACUAGGUAUGCAAAAGUGGGGAAGCGUCUGAAAAAUUAGUGAGAUAACUAAAUAAAAUAAAAUAAAAUAAGAACAAAAAGAUGUUUAAUUAGUUUUUGCAUGUUUUUUUUUAACACAAUUUCAAUCUAAUUGGCAUCUUCUUUCAUCCUAAAACCACUAUUUUAAAUAUAAGGGACUAUAAUGAUCCAAAUUCGAAACAUCAAGGACCAAAAGUGCAAAAUCAAAGUUAUUGACAAAUGGCAAUUUAAUUUGACGGUUAGUUAUUAUUGAAUUUCCAUCGAGUGUCCUAAAUGUACCUAAAAUCUAAAAUUUUGAGGACCAAAUUUUUUUUUUUUAUCAAAAUAUUAGGGAGUAGCUUAGCACAUAGGCCAAACAUUAAGGUCUAAAACUGCAUUUUUUUCUACAUUUGAAAGUGUAAAGUGUUUUCACACGGGUAGUGUACUAAAAAUGAAUCGUUUCCUUAAUACUUCUUUCCACCCUAGCUUCUUAAAUGAAUAAAAAAGAACUCGUUAUUUUUCUUUUGAUAAUACGCAUUUUGCGUGCAUAUUUGUUUGCAUAUUCAGUAGUUAACAUGAUCCAUGGCAAUUUCAUUGUUAACAAAAUGAGAAAGGAUCAUUCAAAAAUUCAACCUAGUAAAAGAAGAACUUUGAAUUUACAGUGGUGUAUGUUAGAGUCCCCUUUUGAUCAAUCGUUUCAAGUUUUAAAAGCAACUUGGUCCCAUGCAACAUGUUUGACGGGUCAUUGCCCUUCUUUCAUCAGGAAAUGGAAAGCAGCAUUGAGAGUUAGACAUAUCAAGAUGCCUGGUAGUUCAAUCAUGCAUCUAUGAAUGAUGCAGCUUGAUUCGACACACGUUUCAUCUAGAUGAUUUAACCAAUCCAAGAAACGUGAGGUCUUUUUCUGUAGCGGAUCAGCGCAGAUAAAUUUUCAGUUAUAAAAAAAUAAAAAACUAAAAUCUUGAGUUGAAUAUAAAUAAGAAAUUGGCUCUUGCACAUUUUUUUUUUUGCCUUUGAAAGACAAUCACGAAUGAUCAUUCAUGUUUGAGAGAGAAUAUUUCAUUCAAUUUGAUAAAAUGGACACCCAAGAAAUGAGUUCAAGAGGGCUAUUUGUAACGUUUAAGUCAAGAAAGUAAUAAGCUAAUGCUAACAAAGAAAUACUCAAAUUACAAGCGGAAUGAAUGUCACAAGUCUGUGCUCUUCUUUGUGUAGAGAGCUAGUGCAAAAGAGGAAAAAAAUUGCAAGACAAUUAAAGCACCACCAUAUCCAAAUUAAAACAAGAUUCUGCAUUUGAAUUUUGAGGUUUCUUGGGCCCAAUUUCUUAGUUUGUGAUUGAAAAAAGAAAAUUCAUAGGCCAAAGGGAAUUGAUCUAAAAGAGGUUCAAAACAUUUGUACUUGUAAGAUUUUUUUGUUUUGAGGGAGGGUUGGAUUUGGUGGUGAGGUGGGAGAGAUUGUAAGUAAUAGGUCAUGAAUUCAAACUCCCAUUUACCCAAAAAAAAAAAAAGAUAUUUUUUUUCUUUCCAGUUAUUACAUUGCAUAUCAUAGUGAAGCUGGACUAUAGGUUAGAAUGUCGUAUAUCUCCCAUCGAGUAGAUAAUUUUAUUAUCUAAAAUUGGAGCUGCUUAAAUUACCAAUGUCUAAUUUAAGUCCAAUCUUUUACCCUAAAUUUUGCUUUCAAGUAUAUUCAACACCCUUAAUCACACCAGCAAAAUUGCUGAUUUAUCGUCCCGCAGAUCACUGUUUUCAUUUGAAAAGCAUUCUUCUAGAGAUUCCCAUUGUAAUGCCUUGUAUACGGGCAAAAUACAAUUUAUUCUCCUGUGGUUUAGCGCUUUUUCACAUAACCCCUUAUGGUUUCAAAAGUUUUAUAUAAUUCCCUUAUGAUUUGGAUUAAAGUGUCGAAAUGACGAAAUUUGCAUUCUUUAUCGAAAUCAACUAAAAUGUCAAAAGUAUCCCUAUGUAAAGUUGAAAAUUAUUUAUUAACCAAGGGAGGAUUAUAUAUAUAUAUAUAUAUAUAUAUAUAUAUAUUGAAAACCAUAAGGGAGUUAUAUGGUAAAAUACUUAUUUAUAAAGGGGUUAUAUGGUAAAACGUAAAAUCAUAUGGGGUUGCAUGCAUAUUAUGUUUAUAUAUUUUGGUCAUUUCAAUUAUUUUAGUUUUUAAAUAAGGGUAAUUUUGACAUUUUCAUGGGUUCCAUUACAAAUGAUCAUUUCCGUCAUUUUGACACUUUAAUCUAAACUAUGAGAGAAUUAUAUAUAGCUUUUGAAACUAUAGGGGAAUUAUGUGAAAAUUGCUAAACUACAGGGGAUAAAGUGUAUUUUGCCCUUUGUAUAUUGCUGUUUUCGAUUGUCUUGUUUGGUAUGACUAUUCGAAAAUCAUAGGUGCCAACAAUUAUUUCUGCAAUCCCCUUUUUCUUUUAUGUUUAUAAAUUUGAAAUUUAUCAUUCAAGCUACAAUAAUUAAUAUUUAAAAGUAUCUUUUUUCUAAAUUUUACAUGUACUAAGAAACUUAAUGUAUUACUUUUAGGAUAAAUUACAUAUAACCCUCCUGUGGUUUCAUCUAUUGUCAUAUGACCCUCUUGAAAGUUUCAAAAUACCCACUUCAUCCUCUAUGGUUUUAUGUAAAGUGAAAAUUUGAUGAAAAAUAACAUAUGUAAUGCAGUUAGUUGAAAUACGAAUGGUGCCCUUACUUAAGUGCUAAAUCAAUCAAUGGUUUAACGACCUUGAAUAAAACUAUUGGAAGAUUACAUGGAUAAAUGGUAAAACCAUGGGGGGGUAAAUAAGAUAUUUAUACAAAUCAUAAGGGUGUUAAAUAGACAUUAAGAUUUUAUCACACACACUUUUAAAGCGCGUUUGGUAUAAAUGCUAUAACUGAUUGUACAUUCUAUCCAUUUUUCGUUUUAUAUAAAAUCAUAGGGGGAUUAUAUGGCUAUUUUAAAAUUUUAAGAGGGGUCAUCUGGUGUUGUGUAAAAUCACAAGCGGGAAAUAAGUUAUUUACCCUUAUUUUUAUUUAUAAAUAUUAUUCAAAUGAUUCAUCGAUUCAACCACUUAUCCACCUAUUGACCCAGUGACCCAUCUACCCGCUCCUUUUUCAAGUUUUCUUGGGCCGACUUUAAUGACUAUGGAGAUUUGUGUUCAUCAAAGAGAGCUGUAUGACAUCAACCAAAGGACCUAUUUCAAAAGGACACUCCUCACAAUUCUUUAGUUGUUGAAUUACUAAGAAAGCAUCCCUUCAAGAAAAAAAUUAGUGAUCCUCAAAAGCUCAACUAAUUCGGCAGCUUCGUUGGUUGCUAUUGCUUGUGCAACCUAAGCCAUACACAAUCCCCUGAAAACUUUUAGCAAGACCAGCCACGAUGACACUCUCAUUGUCACGACUAACAGCUCCAAUACAAUAAACUUUAUGUUUGAGAGACUCUGCUCCGCCGAAGCUAAUUUUGAAAAAGGGUUAACAAGACCAAUAGUCCCUCUCACAUAUUACUGAUGUGAAAUUUUAAUUUCUCAUAAUCAAAAUGAUCGAUUUUAAUUUCGAACAAUUUAAAAAUAUUUCCUUUUGGUCCCUUGUUAUCUUUCCGGCUAAAUUUUGUGGGAAUAUAUCACGAGUUAGUCACGUGAUUAGUUUUUCAAGGAUAAAUUUGACAACUCAAUUAAUAUUGCCUUUCCUAAUCCACCACUUCUCUCCAUUAUUCACCAAAUGCCAAACUAGUUAAAAUGACAUAGUUUUGAUAAAACUCCACUUUUUCUAUUCUUUCUUUCUUUUUCCUUUUUCUAUCAUCUUCUUCCUUCCAUUUUCUUACAAAGCUCACAUGAGCUGCCAUAGUGCAUUUCAGCAGCGGCAGCACCGCAGACCACCAUCUUCUGUUCACAAUUUGUCUCAAAUUUUAACUCCCCAGUUGGUUUUUUGCUGCAUAAAUUCCGAUUCUAACAUUAUUUUUUUGCAAAAAUUGUACAAAAAGUGGUCAAAAUGGCCAAAAAUAGCUGUGAUUUCUUUUCAUUUCUUUUGUCAAAACAACACAAAAACUCAUUGAAUUUUUUUGCAAAAUGACCCAGAUGAAAUGCACAGCAUCAAUAACUCGAAAAUCAGCCAUGUAAGCCUCAAGAAUCAACAAAGUUAAAACAAAUCUUUUUUUUUUUUUUUACAAGUAAUGCAUAGCCAUUAGGUUCAAUAAUUUGGAGAUGAUUACAUUAGAGCUUCUUAAGUGAGGCUUCGGAUGUGAUUGUAGACUAGUAACUUCAGUAGCUAUAUCAACCACAUAUGCUAUCAUGGGUUUGCUAAGGCUCUUCGAAAUCUUGUAAUUUUCAAGUGCUUUGGGAAUAGCCAUCAGGAUUUGGUGUGGUGGUGAGAAAAAAUCAUUUCUUCAAAGUAUUAUUGAAAACGGGUGAUGGUAGGGAAAUCACCUUCACCUUGGCUUUUCCAGGUCCCUAGCAAGAAGGACAGAGGUUGGACUACUAGAUGUGCUGUUGGUGACACCGCCUCACCUCUGCCGUCCAUAUUUACGUCGAGCCCUAUUGAGCUUUGUUAUUUAGUUACAACAAAUCUUGAAAUUUUAUACAACACAUUUCCAUGAUUUUUUAAAAAUAGAGGGAGAAAGAAAUAUACUUAUUUACAAGACCCAUAAAAUUGGGGGAAGAAGAGGAGAAAAGAGGGAAAAGGGAUGGGGUGGAGGCUGAGAAGUGAGAAAGAGGUCAAAUGGCAGUGGUGGUGUUGGUAGAAGUGGGAGUGAUAUGAGAAGAUGAUGCUAGAAUAGGUAAAUAAGUGACGUGGAUUUAGAAUUGUGAAAUCAGGGUUUAGGUGGAGAAUAAUUUGAAAAGAUGGUAGAUUAAAUGAAAAAUUAGUUCAAUAUUAAAUGAGUUACCAAAUUUGCUCUUAAAAAAUUAAUCACGUGAUGGGUUCGUGACACAUUUCGAUAAAAAUUUGGUUGGAAAGGUGACAAGAGACCAAAAGUGAUCGUUUUUCAAUUGUUGGGAACUAAAAUCUAUCAUUUUAACUCUAAAGGACUAAAAUUUCACAUCAGUCAUAUGUGAGAGGCUAUUGGUGCAAUUUUUCCUUUGAAAUAAUUGCAUGGUGGCAACAACUAAUGCGCAUAUAUCUCGAUAUCACUUUAGUCUCUAAAUUCUAAAUUAGGAUACUUUAAUUCCUAAAUUGUAUGUCGAUUCCUAUUUUGGAUGUCCAAAAUCCAUUUUUCCCUCAACUUUUGGAAUUUUUUCUGGGCAUAGUUUGAUCUGAUUUUGCUGCUGUACCCUUGCAACAUGCAACUAUGCUGCUCAAGUGACUGGUAUUCCAUUAACUUUGAGAUUCUGUUAAAGAUUGUACUUAAAUGCGAUAAUUUUAAUAGUUUGGGGACUAAAAUAUCCCAAUUUAUAAUUUAGGAACUAAAAUAGGAAUUGAAAUACAGUUUAAGGGUGUAAAGUAAAAUUAAUCUGAAAAAAAAAGAAAAACCCAAAAUUUAGGAGUGCCCAUAUAUACACGUAUGUUUUAUUACAUGAAUUUGUUGUCUGAGCAUUUACCUUACCAAUUAUAAUUAAAACUUGCACAGUUAAGCCUCAUAGUUGUGUCAAUUCAAAUGCCUCGACAACCUAGCCUCUAUAUUAUUCGGACUUUUCACUUUACCCUACUGUAUUUAUGUUCAACUCUUUAUUUUGCACUAGAAUAGCCGUGUCAGAGCAUUACAAGCUUUUCUCUAACACAAAGUUGUUUGGCAUUAGAUUAAGAAUGUUAUGUUUGCUGUAAAUAUAGCAAGGUCUAAGUAAUGAGAAGACAUUAACAAUCUUUCAUUUUACAGUUUCAGUCUUGCUUGCACAGAAUAAUUUAUUCUUUACCAUUUGUAUGCCAUACCAUUUCACGUUUUUCCUAACUAUGUAGCAAGUUACAGAAAAGAUGAAAAAUUCCAUUCAGAGCAAGAAAGGAAACAGCUUGACAAAAACACAAUACAUCUUCUGUUUCAGGCAAGCCAAAAUAUGUAUUCAGUGAACUUAUUCCAGAGGUUUUAUCAACAAAGACCAGAAAGUUUACAGCCAGGCUGGAUUCUUUAAAGGAGUAACAACAGCCUUCACCUGUAAAUAGUUCUGUAGGCUGUAAAAUCCUUUUUCUCUCCCAUGGCCGCUCAUUUUGUAGCCACCAAAGGGAAUUGCAGCAUC